Molecule: long non-coding RNA, 77350 nt
Filed under: Setaria italica (foxtail millet)
Lineage: Eukaryota; Viridiplantae; Streptophyta; Magnoliopsida; Poales; Poaceae
Description: long non-coding RNA (SITA_LNC003510)
Source: RNAcentral
UAACAACUUAUUAGAAGGAAGCAUACCUCAAUCUCUGAAGAACUUAAAAGGUCUUGCAUUACUGAACCUAACAAUGAACAAGCUAUCUGGUAGUAUUCCUGAUGCCCUUGCUAGCAUUGGCAACCUGCAACAACUGUAUCUAGCACACAACAACUUGUCAGGUUCCAUCCCCAAAGUUCUACAGAAUUUGACAUUGUUGGCAAAACUGGAUUUGUCAUUCAAUGAUCUGCAAGGCGAAGUGCCAAAAGGGGGUCCUUUUGCAAAUGCAACUCACUUGUCAAUUGAUGGAAAUGAUGAGCUUUGUGGUGGAAACCCUCAACUUCACUUAGCUCCGUGCUUCACAGCUGCUGCGGGGAAGAACAGAAGGCGAAUGUCAAGGUCAGUUAUGGUCACCGUAGCGUCAAUCUGCGCACUUCUAUUCUUAGGUUUAGUAGUUUUUCUUAUCCAUUUGAUCCACAAGACGCUCAGACAAGGAAAGGAAAAUCAACUCAUUCCCACAGUAAUUGAUGAACAGCACGAAAGGGUUUCAUAUCAAGCAUUAGCAAAUGGGACUGACCAUUUUUCGGAGGUUAAUCUGCUCGGACAAGGAAGCUAUGGUGCAGUUUAUAAGUGCACUUUACAUGACAAGGGAAUUACCGCAGCUGUAAAGGUAUUCAACGUAUGGCAAUCUGGUUCUACUAGAAGUUUUGUGGCUGAAUGUGAGGCACUGCGAAGGGUGCGCCACCGAUGUCUCAUAAAGAUCAUCACCUGUUGCUUAAGCAUUGAUCACCAAGGCCAAGAAUUCAAGGCACUGGUUUUUGAGUUCAUGCCCAAUGGUAACCUAAAUGGUUGGCUGCAUCCAGCAUCCAAAAUACAGAGUCUGAGCAAUACGCUCAGCUUAGCUCAGAGACUGGACAUUGCGGUAGAUAUCAUGGAUGCUCUGGAUUAUCUUCACAAUCAGUGUCAACCGCCUAUUAUCCAUUGUGAUCUCAAACCAAGUAACAUCCUCCUUGCCGAAGAUAUGAGUGCUCGGGUUGGAGAUUUCGGCAUAUCAAAAAUCCUUCCUGACGACACUAGCAAAACUCUGCUGAAUUCAGUUAGCUUCACUGGACUAAGAGGUUCCAUCGGAUAUGUCGCUCCAGGUAACAGAAACUAACACUGAUAUUGCUAUGUUCAGUUUUUUAACUUCCAUUUUGCCAAGUCCAGUUAUCUCGGCAUGCACGUUCAUAAGUAGCUUGCCAUGAAUCCACUGACCAAAUAGUGUCUGAAAUCUGAAUUGACUGCAGAGUACGGCGAGGGUCGCGCUGUCUCAACUCUUGGAGAUGUUUACAGCCUCGGCAUACUGUUGCUUGAGAUGUUCACCGGGGUGAGCCCUACUGACGACAUGUUCAAAGACUCCUUGGACCUUCAUAAGUUCGCCGAGGCCGCUCUCCCGGACAGAGCCUUGGAGGUAGCCGACCCGGCAAUCUGGCUUCAUGAAGAAGCAAAGGGGAAAGACCCUGCCACGGUGAGAAGCAGAAGCGAGGUGUGCUUGGCUUCAGUGAUCGGGCUUGGCGUGUCCUGCUCAAAGCAGCUGCCAAGGGAGCGGACGGCGAUGCGGGAUGCUGCCGCUGAGAUGCGUCCGAUCAGAGAUGCCUUCCUGGUUCAAUGUGCAACAGAGACUUGGGCUGCAGUCGGCACCACCGGCCUUGGAAGCGCAGACAGUUGAAUGGUGGACGGAGCUACGGUCUCUUGACGCACCAAGGAGCACCGGACUAGCAACUCUGCAACUAACAGAGUGGAGAAAGCGCCCCUUAAUGAAAAGAAAAACAGCCGGUGCAAGGCUUUAUACAAAGAAUGUGACAGCCACUGCGUGUAUCCGAGGCUUUAUACAACUCUGCCUUAUCUAAUCUACCGAGGAUUGUUGCGUAUGGAUGCGUAUAGAUUAUGCACGUACUCCCUCCUCCGUCCUAAAAUAAACGCACAUCUCGUUUCUCGAGGAGUCAAACUUUUAAGUUUGACUAAAAUUUAUAAAAAAAAUGUACUACUAUUUAUAAUGUAUAAUAAAUGUCAUUAUUGAGCAUUGGGUAUACUUUCCUAAUACAUUUAUUUGAAGAUGCAAAUAUUGUUACUAUUUUCUAUAUUCUUAGUCAAACUUAAAAACCCGUCAUGGGGAUUAGUCACGAUAUAAGUAGGGACUAGCAAGCAUCAAAACCCCAUUCACUGCCCAUCUAUCGCUCAAAUAAAAGAAACCAUUGCAUAUGGUGGCGAUGCGCUCGCGAGCCUUUCUCCAACCUUUCUGCUCUCGCGAGCCUUGAACUCGCAUGGAACAGUUUUAGUGAGAGUGUGCCUCCAACUUUGGGAAGAUUGUGAAGCCUUAUUUACCUGUCCUUAAGUGGCAAUAAGUUAUGAUCGAAUGAUAAGGACGGAUUGGAAUUCAUCACCAUGCUAGCAAACUGCAGCCAGCUUCAGCAACUGGCUUUUGAUAAUAAUUCAUUCAUCGGUGAACUUCCUAGCUCAAUAGCAAAUCUAUCGACAACUCACCAAUUACUCUAUAUAGGAAACAAUUGGAUUUCGGGAUUUAUUCCAUCCAGCAUAGGUAAUUUGCUUGGUCUAGAACUGCUUACGUUGGCAAAUACUUUCAUAUCCGGAGUGAUUCCAGAUAGCAUUGGUCGCAUAGAAGACAUGUCCGUGUUAGGCAUUUACUACGCUAGCUUGUCAGGCAUCAUACCUUCAUCACAAGAAACCUUACACAGUUGAAAACUCUAUGCAUACGAUAGCAACUUGGAGGGUCCAAUUCCAGCAAGCUUGGGGAACUUAAAGAAUCUUUUUGUUCUUGAUCUUUCAACGAAAGUGUGUUACCCGUUAAGAUUUCAUGUCGAAGCAGAGCAUAAACCUCUCUCAAGACUGCAAAGCUAUCAUAGAGCAGAUCAGUCUGAGGGCCGGGCUAUGUACCCUUUCGGUAAGAUUACCCCAAACUAGAGUCUGUAAUUAAUUAGCCAAGACUAGAAUUACGUAGUUCUUGUGGUUGUACUGUUUUCCUGGGUGGCCGCUCCAUGUUCCAAUUAAGCAUGAUGAUCUUGUAUUAAUAAAAGGUAUAUCAUAAAUAAAACAAGUUUAAUCAUUGAGUUCAUUAAAACCAUCACAACCCAAGGUAUUGCAACUAAGCAUAUCUACCAAAAAAAGGGUAAAACCCAGGUUGACAAAGAAUGAUCAUAAAAACUAGGUAAACCUUAAUAGGGCCCAUCAAUUUUAAGUGCACAGCAAUGCAAAAGUGAUUAAAUAUAGUUAUUGGGACAAAAGCACAUGGACACACUUGCCUUUCUCCAAAGAAUAGCUGCUCUGAUUAUCUUCAACUCUUGUUCCUCAAAGCUCUCGAACAACGUUCCUUAUACUCACAUCAAUCAUUGGCACAAGCAUACAAAGCAAACAACAAUCACAACUAAGAACAAUACAUCAAUCAUAGGAAAGCUUUAAAAGAGCGCACUAAAGGAUAAGGCUUGAAUCUGAAACACUGGGAACUAAACUAUGGUUGAAAUGACAAAGCUAUCGAGAGAUUUGAAUUAUAAAAGAAAGAGAAAAGCCUAUGCGCUUCAUAUAUUUCAAUAAAGAAAAUAAUGUAAAGAUAUUUUAGAGAAACAUCCUUAGCAAGUUAUAUUUAUAUAUGAAAAGAUAAUGUAGAACUUAGUCAAAUUUUAUUUAUAAACAUUCAAGUACAAUUUAUGCAAAUUAAAAAUUUAAUUUGAAAAUAAAGUAUAUGGAAACAUCUAAGCGCAUAGCUUUAUGAUUCGGGUUGAACUAACCAAAUAUAAUUCAAAAACAUAUUUAUAUUUAUAUUAAGUCAAAUUAACAUAUAAUUAUGAAACCUCGAGAUAUAACUUAUGUAGCUUUUAUUUAGAAAACAAAUUGAAUAAACAUUAAUCAAUUUAAGUUCAAUUAUGAACCACCGUGGUGCAUCUCUAAUUCACUUUUAAUUGAAAGAGUUAUUUAAAUAAGCAUUAACUAAAUUAAUAUUUAUUAUGAAAAGUGGUUAUAACACUAAGUAGCUUUUAAUUAAGGAAGGCAUGUUUAACAUGCAUUAAUUAGAUUAAUAUUAAAUUUAUUUUAAAAACAUGCAUGAUGGAAAGAUCAGUACUAACAUGUAAUUUGUGUUAUCACGAACCUAACUCAACAAGAACGGAUAUAAACGGAGCUGUAACGAGGAGUCUAUGGGUUAAACAAGGUUGCAGGGCCUAAUCACGAUUAACGGAAGGUUGUUGGGGCUAGCAAGGAAGAUUUGCAAGACACUGGAAUAGAGCUCGUUAUUAGGUCAAAGCAUAGGGUUAGAUCUGUUAAAGUGCUCAGGUUGGACUUGGUUGCACGGAUACAAUCUAAUCAGGGACAUGGAUGAAAAAAACAAGACACAAGGAAAAACUAACUAUAUAUAGAGCUUUCUAGGGGCCUAUGCGCAAAAGCACCAUAGCUCAGCAUCCAUGGUGGACGGGCUCCUUGACGGCAAAAUCCUCAUGCUGGAUUUAUAAGCCUGGUAGUCCACCAAGGGGUUUCCCAAGUAGUUGAUUUGUAGGUGAGGGUGAUUGUGAAACCAAGAACUCGAAGGUGAUUGUGAGAACACGAAGGGACACAAAGGUUUUAGACAUGUUCGGGCCUCCGAAGAGUAAUACCCUACGUCCUAUAUGCUGGUUUGUAUUGCUUGAGAUUGAUGUGAUUGUUGCGAUAUCCUCGGGGGUGCCCUUGGCCACCUUAUAUAGGUUGACGACCAAGAGUUAAAAGUCGGUUUGAAUCUAAUCUACUCGGUAGUUACAUGGAAAGUAAUCUGAGUUGGACUACAAUACACGUUCCAUGAUAUCCGAGCAGAUUUGAACUGUCUUGUUGCCUUGACUUGCACUCCAAGUAACUUCAUAUCCUCGGCCCACACGCCCUGGUCGAGCGAGCCCUACUUGUCAGGUUCGGCCAGUAUCCUGGUCGGCUGGGGCCCAUGGGGUACCCAUUUCUCUCAAGCCCCCGAGCGUUGUGUAGGCAAAUAGAAACUUGAGGUCACCAAAACGAAACUUGAAAUGAAGUCGGCUGAAGCUGCGAAGGCGUCAUUGCGACGGAGAGGCUGCGCAGUGCUUAAAAGAAGAAAAUCUGAGCAAACACAGAGCCAACGCGUAGAGCGAAGACGAGUGCCGAGUUGAUGGAUGCUGGCAUCCAGUAGGUCGGAGCGAAGGUUACGGAGGGCGUCGCAAGAGAAACUCCGUAGGAGUAGCCCCCGAGCAUUGAAACGAUUAAGAUAAUCGGUACAUUGGUCAAAGUACAAAAAAUUAUCCCAUGAUGUAGAUCCUAGUGCUCGAACACAAGGAUGGGUGCAGCCAUGGAGGCCCGCCCACUAGAAGUAGGCACCCAGACCCAAGGACGAGGACUGAUAGGACCGCGUAGCCACGCUGACCUGAAAUAGGCGUCCAACCCCCGAGGACGAGGACUAGCGGAGCCGCGGAGGCAUGCUGACCUGAAGUAGGCGCCCAGCCCCCGAGGAUGAGGACUGGCGGAGCCAUGAAGGCACGCCGACUUGAAAUAGGCACCAAGUGUAACAACUCUACCUAAAUUAAGUGCUUUUAAAUAUAAACUAGUGGCUAAUCACUAAGUUAAAGAAGUAAAAUGACCAUUUUAACCCUAAGAAGCUCUUUUUGGAGUUUGAAAUAAAACUUGGAAUUUUAUAUGCAAACUUAAAAUUUUGCCCAAACAAGAGUUGUAAAACUUUCAAUUUCAAACAACUUUUGUUAAACGAACUUUGACUAAUUCAGAGUGGGAGGAAGUCAAAAAUAGCAAUCAAAACUGGAGUACUAAAGAACCCUAUAAACCUCCUAAGUCCUGGUUUUCAAAUUUUCCCUCCAACUUUGCAAGCCUUUAUCUCAUGAUUUCUUAUCCAAACUCAAGUCAGGCUCUUAAUAAAAGUUGUAGUCCCUCGAGUGUGUUCCAACUUUGUUACACUGACCCAGGUCCAAAUCGGGCCAGAACCUGUUCAAAAUCUUGGUCAAAGUGAGGUAAAACAGUCAACUCAUCCCUUGAGCCCCACAACGCUAAGUCUGAAAAACUGCUCAGAGUGCACCUCUUGGCGAGGGCGUUCCUCCAAAUUUUUGAACUAAACUCAAGAAAUACCCUAAAUAAAAGCUUAAACCCAGGGACCCCUACGUAGUUAAACCUUAAACCCAGGGGCUUGCUUGCAACUUUGUCACAGCUUUUCUUUUAAAUAAUAGGCAGAAAUAUGGUUGAAUUUUGUAAAUGCCCAGUAAAUCGUAGAAUAAUCAUAAAAAUGCCAAACUACUUUUGCUAGAAUCCUUUCUCUGUCUAGUUCCUAAGAAAAAUAAGUUUGCUCAUGUUACUGUUGUAAAUAAUAUCCUACGCUUUUAAUCAUGUUGUAGGCCUUUUAAAUCCUAAUAAAUAGAAGAAAAGUGGGAAAAAUGUGGAACCAACUCUGUGAUGCUUGUUUCUAUGUGUAGAAGCUUAGAAAAAUAGUUAGGGCUCUGGUGUAGCACUUUAAGUCACUGUUUUGACUUUAAAUUGGGAAUCUAAGUAUAAAUCUUCCUUUUUGCAUAAGUUUUGAUCUAGAGCUUAGAAAAAUGUGAAACUAGUUGGGUUAAUUUUGUUUUGCUGUAAAGUUCUCAGGAAAAAUAUAAAUUGUUGUGCAAAUCAGAAAUAAAAACACCUUCCUUGCUAAGCAUGUUUAAUUAAGAAAAGAAAUAGAGUAAAUAGUAACCUUGUCCAAAAAUUACGAAAAAAUUCACCAAAGCACCUGUAACAUACCCUUAACACACUGCUUAAGUUUCACCCUCUGUUGCACAAUAAUUUUGAAGAUGGAAAAAAUUAAGCUCAGUUUACCUUUAAUAAUAAAAUGCAUGUAACUUCUUUUUAAGUCAUCCUUUGGCCCCCAAACUUUUACAGUAACCUAGUGAUGGCUUAAGUGAGGUGCUGUAAUUUUAUCAAUGACUUUAACUACUUUUUGGAUAUGAAGUCAUUUUGGUUAAUUAAUCAACCUAAAGGAAUAAAAGGAGAGCGCGAAUUCUAAUACGAUAAAUAAGUGGACACUGAAAGAGGUACAUAAAAACAUUCAGAAGUAAGUAAUUAUUCCAAUGCAUCCAAACCACCCAACACGACCUUUCACACUCUUUAUGCAACUCUAAAUGCAAGAAAGCUAUAUAUGUACACAAUCGCCAUUCAACGCGAACUCAAGUUUAAAACGACCACUUUCGUUUGAAGUUAAAAAAAGUAAACCUCAUCAAAGUGUUUGUGGCUGUUGUGACUCUUGUCUUAAGCCAUGCCUUGUGUCGUUGAAUAAACGCGCGAGUCCAACUAAAUUUUUGUAUGUGCAUGUCGUAUAGAAGCAACUCUCGCCGACGGAACCUACGAGCUCCACCCGGCACCAGAGAAAGACCCCGCUACGGAGCUUCACCACUUGGAAGGCGAGCCCGAACCGGAGCAAGAUCCUGAGGACCCGCUAACUUUUCCUGAAGGCAAGCCCCGGAGCAUAAAUUCCUAUCUUUGAAUACUUGCAAUAUUAUUGAACACUUUGAUUGCGCAUUUACGUUUCUAGGAGUUGUAAUGAAACCUUAGAUGCAUGAACUUAGUACCUUGUUUGAAUACUAGUUGCUAAAGUCGAGUAGUUGCAAUGCUUAAUAGGUUCCGGUAAAAGUCGAGUGAUUUCCUAUCACUCGCGAGUUAUAGGAGUUGAAUGUUUACUUAUGUUGCAACUAUAAGGACGAUGGAUGUGGUCGGGCUUAUGUUCGAUACUUGGUGGUUUUUCCCCGUCUGUCUAAAGGAAAUUGAUCUAAGGUUGAAAUGUGUCGGCGUUCGUGAUCAAGUGUUUGAAAGUACUAAUCUCAUACCUAGUAUGGGAUGGGGAAGCCUAGUACCUGAUUGAACUGGGGCAUGGCAUACUCCCCCAGCUGCCUUGGAACACCGUUCCCAUGGUGCAUCAUGUGGGUGCAAGUGCGGUCAUAGUACGGCAGAGGCCGGGAUUAUGGAGCAUGGCAUGCCAAAGGCAGUUGGCCCUGACACGUGCCUAAGGGAUCGAUGGGGACGGCUGACAAAUGAAGCAACCCUUCGUGGUGCGCGGAUGUCGUGAGAUUAGGUUCGCCAUGCAUGGUUAAUAAAUUCGAAUCGAUUCGUCUGCCUCUCACAGUUUGGGACUACUUGAUCGCUAUUCUGCACUGAGUAACGAUGAAACAUGAUUACGAGAUUAAGUUGAUGCUUGUUAUUUAACUGCUUGGAAAUCAUGCUUGUUUAGCAUAAGUGGCUAAUCUAGAAUGGUUAAAGAACGUAGAACUUGAGCUAAAAUAUUGAAAGUAAGGACUGAUUGUAGACGCUUGUGGCAAAGAAAUCGCAGAGCCAGAAAGCCUUGCAUGUCUAGGUCUUGGUAAAGCUUUUCACUCGACGGGUCAGUCUUGCUGAGUAUUAGUUGCUCAGCCUUGUUGUGGCUUAAUCUUUUCCAGUGAUGUCAAUAGUUUGGUUGCGGGCACCACUUGGCCUACCCAGCUCCCUCCGGGCUGGACAGUCGAGUGGGAUCCCUCCUCGGACGGCGAGGGAAGGGAUUUUUGAUGUCAUGAUUGGAUCCGUCGUGAUGUCAUGUAUCGAUGUUUAGCUUCCGCUUGUUUUAUCCGACUUUUCGAACCUUGCAACUUGUUUGAAUUUUCAGAAACUCUGAUGUAAUAAUUUGUGACACUAAGGAAUGUGAUGGAAUGUAGUAAUCUCUGUGCUACUCACCUUCAUGUGAGCGAUGCUUCUCGAUCCUGUUUAGGUGGUUCAUCGGAUGAAAUCCAACGGUCGACCAGUUUGACUUGCUUAAAGUGCAUAAUCGCGUGUCAGGCGACUUCAACGCAUUUUAGUCAGGUUAAUUUGGGUGGUUCCGCCACAGCUAGCAUCAGAGCUCGAAGCACGGUAUGGAGAACAACAAACCUUAAAACACUUUUCCUGACUAAAACUUGCAAGAAACGAGUUGAAAAAUUCGUAAGUUCGUUAAGGAUGAAUUUAGUACGAGGAGCCCUAGGGGAAUUUUGGGUCUUUUAAGGUGGCUAAUAAUUAUUGGUUAUCUUCUGACUUCCAGCACUUGUUACCACGUCUAUCAUACGUGUGCCGAGAUCUGCAUCGCGAGUGUGCGAAGGGUGAUAGGAAUUCGAUUCCAACGAGCCUAUCAUCACGGUUGUUUCGCCCACGUCUAUUAUACGUGCGCAGGUUCCGUAUGUUAAUUCAUGCGAAGGAUGGUAUGGUUCGAUUCCAACGAGCCUAUCAUCACGGUUGUUCGCCCACGUUUAUUAUACGUGUGCAUGAUUCCGCAUCACGAGAAUGUGAAGGGUUAUAUGGUUCUAUUCAAGGGAACCUAUUUCCACGGUUGUUGCGCUGUCCAUGCAGCGUUAAACGCAUGGGUGCCGUUUCUAUAGUGAACGGUAAUGAUUGUGGACGCUUUUGUGAGUACUGGCACGGAAAGUUCAAGCUAUGAUGUGUUUUUCUGCGGGUACACUAACAACGUUGCGUACGAAACGAUGCUUAGCAACUCGACUAGUUAUUAUAGUGAGAGUCGUAUUGUUGCCUUGCCACCGGCACUAACCACGUAAGUUCAAAGAUUUUUGGCGAUUAUUUUUGGUUGAGAGGAUGACUAGGACGUGCAUGCAUUAAGAAAUAAAAACCGCAACCUAAGGAAAUAAAACCAAGCUCGAGUGUGUCGUAAAAAGAAAUGCACCGCGAUAAGGAUCGUCUAGUUGUCCUUUUUUUUCCGCCAUGCACGUUUAAAUAAAUCUUUCAGGUUGUUCCAUAUGAUAACUUCAGAAACUUUAUAUAAGAAAUUUGUGUUAAAUCUCCCAAGUAAACUGCUGAAAAUUUUUCACAAAGUACUACCACUUGGGUUGAGAGUUGUGAUCAGUUUUGUGACCCCCUGUUGGCUGUUAGCCCUGAGUGCACACCAGUUGGAAUUCUGCUGUUUCGACCACCUUAAGAACUUUUUCUGCUAGGAGUCCCUUAAGAAACGUUUCUCAAAACUUAAUAAAGAACUUACUGGUAAAAUUGCAGCUUCAUUAGGUCUCUUGUUUUGAAGUUAUGUUCAGUUUACUUUGACUCGGGUCUGAAAAAUUCUAGCAUGUACACUUAAUGGGAAUCUGAGGUUAUCACCUUGUUAGGUCCUGUUCUAGCCCUACCUUUGAAUACCAAACUUGUUACGCACUAUCUAAAGAACAUGCUGGUAAAAUUUGAGAAAUUUUGGAUGAAUAAUUGCUGAGUUAUGAGCUUUUCUCUAACUGCUAGAAAUCUGUUUUGAUUUCCAAGUGUUAACUCCGUUUCUCACUUGUCCUUUGGUUACAGUGGCUCAGCCUGUGCACGUUGCAGUCGGUACGGAUGGCACCACCUACUCACGGUGCCUUCACUACGAGGGUUUCCUAGCCGUACUGUGGGACACCCUGCGCUCUUUUGGGUACCCGUCACCGCCAGUUUACGCGGGACGUGCAUACCAGGACCGCGGGAUUCCGCGGAGUCGCGUGCACGUGCGGGUGCCCCCGCCUCCGGGUCAGCCACAGUGUCCGCUUUUGGAGGUGGUGGCCGAGGGAUAGACACUACAGGACACCUGGGAGUUCGCAGCCUUGCAGACCCUGACACAGUUUUGCCGGGCACACCCUCUUGAGAUCGUGCUGGACCCGAUUGGGUUGUGCUCUGCUCGGGAUACGAGGGACCCGGAUUGGUUGGAUCGUAUGGAGCAUAUGGACUUACUCAGGGUUAUGGAUCCACAACGCACGAUUUUUGUUUCAGCUCGUUGCCUGAACGUGUUCUUCCGGAUGGUUGAGAUGCAGAGCCGAGCGAUGGCUACGGUGAUCGGGAUGGCAGUGGCCAACCAGGUCGCUUUAUCUGCCGUGCAGAGUGGCAUGGUGGACCAGUCGCUUGAGCUAGUACAGAAGGAUGUCCAGAUUGCUGAGAUGCAGGACAAGAUCACUCGUUUGGAGGAGGAGAUUGUGGAUAUGGAGCAUGAUAUGGAGAUCUUGGCUGACCAGUUCUAUGAUGUGAACAUGGAGCCGGCGAACGUCAAUGAGCACCUGCAGGAGCAUCACGAUGAGCUUAAUGCCAUUCACACCUUAGAGAUGCAGCAGGAUGAGCCGAUGGCCCAGGAGGAGGAGCCUGAGGAGAUCGAGGGCUUUUCGAGCAUGGACUAUGAGGAGGCCUCUCCGCAGCCUCCAGUUGGCGAUGCUCACUCUCCUGCCCUUAGCUUUGCCUCCGUGGGCAACCUCGACGACUUCUAGUUGUGUUGACUUGUUGUUGAGGGGUUCUCUUUUGUUUUUACUCCUCGGCGACCUAUAUUUUGGCUAGUGAUAUAAUAGGUUAGCUUGAGUUGAGUAUUUGGGAGUUGAGAAACUGAUUCUAUGUUGGAUUGCCGUUGCUAUCUUUAGUGUAAUGUCUGAAAUUUAUGGCAGAACUGCAGUGACUGUUUCUCCUCAGUUUUACCCCUGUCUCCACUCGUUUUUGAGCCAAAGUUUGAAUACCAAAGUUGUGCAAAAACUUCUGUUCUAACUAUUCGUAAAUUUUCAGCUCCUUCGGAUCUGUCAAACGCCCGCUAGAGCCAAAACCCCACUGUUCAGCUUGCUGAAAAAUCAGCCGGACAGCAACUUGCUAGAACGUCUAAACGACCUCUUUUCCUUCCUUUUCGGUCGACAAGCGUAACAUGAAAGUGGUUGUGUACGAUAUAUUCUAACCCUCACUUAAGGAUGAGAACCUUGUGCACUUCGAAGAAGAGAUAUGCACCUACUCAAUAAAAGUUUUGAUUGUUGCUUUUGCACCAUCGGCAAGACUAGCGUUUAUCAUUUCCGCACAUAAUGUUUCCUUAUGGUUAAACAAGAUUUUGGGGCUAUGUGACUAAUGGAAAGGUGAAUCUUGCAGAUGGCACAUCGCAUAUGCUCCGGCUCCAUUCCUAGUGGCAGCGAGGUGCCUCCCCCACCUCCGCCUCCAACCACCCUCGAGGCAAUCUUGGCGGCUCAAACCGAGCUGCUGAGGCACAUCGCUCAGGGACAGCAGCAGCAGCAGCCCUAGGGAGGAAGAGCCCAUCAGCAGCCUCAUGUUGCUCGCUACGAGGACUUUCUGGGGACCCAGCCUCCUCUGUUCCACAAGACGGAGGACCCGCUUGACGCCGAUGCCUGGAUUCGUGCCAUCGAGUCCAAGUUCUCCCUUCUCACCGCCCAUUGCCCGGAGGAGAACAAGGUUCGGUUCGCCGCGCAACAGUUGCAUGGUUCUGCUCUCCUGUGGUGGGAUCACUACCACGCCAUGCAGCCGGCCGACCACGUCGUCGGCUGGGAGGAAUUCAAGACAGCGUUCAAGGGCCAUCACAUCCCUGAGGGUCUUCUGGAGCGCAAGCUCAAUGAGUUCCUGGCUCUCACCCAGGGAGGCCGCGACGUCCUGCACUAUGCGCAGGCUUUCAAUGACCUGUGUCGCUAUGCAGGCUAUCAUGCAGACUCUGAUGAGAAGUAGAGGGACCGCUUCCACAGAGGCUUGAGCCUGGAGCUCAAGGAAAGCCUGAAUCCCAUCAAGGUGGAUUCCUACAAUGAACUGGUGAACCUGGCAAUUUCCCAGGAAGAUUGCAUGAGGGCUCUCAAGGCUGACCUGAAGCGAAAGGCUCCAAUGCCGGCACCCGGCCCACCGGCCCAGAAAUACAAAGUGGUUCCCCCACAGGCGUCUCACAGGCCCGCACAACCUAGGAGAUGGGUUGCUCGACCUCCACCGCAGGCAGCACCUCAUUUCCCUGGAUUCCAGCCGCAAGGGCCCCGACCUACUCUUCCUAUGCCGCCAUGCCUAGUCACUGGAAACCGCUGUUUCACCUGCGGGAACCCAAGACACUUUGCCAAGAACUGCCCCCGCAACAAGAAUCAACGACCCGGUCAGAGCAAUGCACUGAGCAACAAGGGGAAGAAGCCGAGGGUUCAGGUCCGACAAGGCAGGCUGAACUACACCACCCUUGCUGAACUUCCAGAGGGUGCACCAGUGAUGACGGGUACCUUUUCUAUCUAUAACCAACCCGUCCUUAUUCUGUUUGAUUCGGGAGCAUCUCAUAGUUUCAUUGGGACUAGAACCAGUGCUAAGUGUGGGUUAGAUUUCUGUCACACAAAAGGUGCUUAUAUAAUCUCUACCCUGGGUAGGAAAGUAACUUCACACCAAGUGAGCCGCAAGGUGCCUAUCCAGUUGGGGAGAACCCUUUUUAAGGAAAACCUCCUUAUCCUUGGGAUAGAAGGAAUAGAUAUUAUCUUGGGUAUGGAUUGGAUGACUCGACAUCGAGUGGCACUAGACAUCCCUGCCAGAGCCGUCCAUAUAAACUCACCCAUUUAUGGUAGCUCAAUCAUACACUUACCCCCCCGAGAGUGCCAAACUUUUUGUGCCUAUCCCUUGACUGAAGCCCGUUUAGAAGACAUCCCAGUGGUGUGCGAGUAUCCCGAUGUGUUUCUAGAUGAUUUGCUGGGUAUGCUGCCUAAUAGAGAUAUCGAGUUUGCUAUUGAGUUGCAACCAGGUACUGCCCCAAUUUCAAAGAGACCGUACCGGAUGCCACCAGCCGAGCUGGCAGAAAUGAAAGCUCAGUUUCACGAUCUGUUGGACAAAGGUUUUAUUCAUCCAAGUACAUCACCUUGGGGUGUCCCCGCCUUGUUUGUGAAAAAGAAGGACGACAGUCUGCGUAUGUGUCUGGACUACUGCCCUCUCAAUGCGGUGACGAUAGAGAACAAGUACCCACUACCCCGCAUUGAUGUUCUGUUCGAUCAGUUAGCUGGAGCUAGAGUGUUUUCCAAAAUUGACCUCCAUUCUGGCUACCAUCAAAUCAAGAUCCACCCGUGCGACAUUCCUAAGACUGCUUUCUCUACACGGUAUGGACUCUAUGAGUACUUAGUCAUGUCAUUUGGGCUUACUAAUGCACCAGCUUAUUUCAUGUACCUCAUGAAUUCGGUGUUUAUGCUCGAACUCGACAAAUUCAUCGUGGUUUUCAUUGACGAUAUCUUGGUGUACUCAAAGGAUGAGGAAGAACAUGCAGAGCACCUACAUACUGUACUCCAACGCUUAAGAGAUCACCAACAAUAUGCCAAAUUCUCUAAGUGUGACUUCUGGCUGGACAGUGUUAAAUUCUUGGGGCACACCAUAUCCAGAGACGGUAUAGCAGUAGACCCAAGCAAAGUGCAAGAAGUAAUGGACUGGAAGUCGCCCACUUCAGUUCAUCGGAUUCGAAGUUUUCUCGGGUUAGCAGGUUACUACCGUCGCUUCAUUCCUGACUUCUCAAAAAUAGCUAAGCCAAUGACGAAACUGCUAAGGAAGGGAGUUAAGUUCAUGUGGAGUGACAAAUGUGAAGAAGCCUUCCACACCCUGAGACAAUUACUGACCUCUGCGCCGGUUUUAGCUCAGCCCAACACCACUAGGCUGUUUGACGUAUAUUGCGAUGCCUCUAGCACUAGACUGGGUUGUGUUCUUAUGCAAGACAGCCGAGUCAUUGCCUAUGCCUCACGAGCGCUACGGCCACAUGAGUUGAACUACCCUACCCAUGAUCUCGAGUUAGCAGCAAUCGUUCAUGCUCUGAAAUUAUGGAGGCAUUAUCUUAUGGGAACUCGAUGCAACAUCUAUACGGAUCACAAGAGUCUUAUGUACAUCUUCACUCAAGCAGACCUCAACAUGCGCAAGAGAAGAUGGUUAGAAUUAAUCAAAGAUUAUGACCUAGAAGUGCACUAUCACCCAUGCAAAGCCAAUGUAGUUGCCGAUGCUCUCAGCCGCAAGAUCCAUUGUAACUGCUUAUCGGCAAUUAAUUAUGCCGAGACCCUCUGUCAUGAAAUGGCUAAACUCAACUUGGAAAUUGUUCCCCAUGGCACCUUAAGUCAUAUUUCUUUAGAGCCUACCCUGCUUGACCAAAUAAUUUUAGCACAACUAGAGGAUGAAGAGAUAAACCUUAUCAAGGAGAAACUCGCACAGGAGGAUGAGGGAUAUAAGCAUUUCUGAUAGGAUUGGAGAGGAGUGGUACAUUAUGAAGCUCGACUCGUAGUUCCAAAUGAUCCCGAUCUUAGGAAACAAAUUCUGGACGAAGCACACCUUUCCAAGUUCUCGAUUCACCCUGGUAGUACCAAGAUGUACCACAACCUCUGACAAAAUUUCUGGUGGAGUGGAAUGAAACCCGACAUUGCACGAUAUGUUUCAGAGUGUGAUACCUGUCAGCGAGUCAAAGCAAGCCACUUAAGGGUAGCUGGCCCCUUGCGGCCACUGCCUAUUCCCUCGUGGAAGUGGGAGGACAUAAGCAUUAUAGUCAGACUACCCAAUACCUCCCGCAAACAUGAUUCGAUAUGGGUUAUAGUAGACCGACUUACCAAAACAGCGCAUUUUCUUCCAGUACACACCACCCGCGCCAUACAGAAAUAUGCAGAACUGUACCUUGACCGGAUUGUUUCCUUGCAUGGUGUACCUAAGACGAUCAUCUCUGAUCGAGGUAGUCAGUUUGUAGCACGCUUUUGGGAGCAGUUGCAGUUUUCACUUGACACUAAAUUUAUUCGUAGUUCCACAUAUCAUCCUUAAACCGAUGGACAAACUGAAAGGGUUAACCAGAUUUUGGAAGAUAUGCUACGCGCCUGUGCCAUUCAUUAUGACAAGAACUGGGAUAAGUGUUUGCCAUUAGCGGAAUUCUCAUACAACAAUAGUUACCAAGCUAGCCUGAAAAUGGCGCCUUUUGAAGCCUUGUAUGGACGUAGAUGCCGAACCCCGCUAAGCUGGUCGCAACAGUGUAUGGACCUGACCUGGUCAUGGAGGCCGAAGAAAAAGUAAGAGUUAUUCGUGAAAAUCUCAAGGCCGCCCAGUCUCGACAAAAGAGCUAUUCCGAUCAAAGAAGAAGACCUAUCCAAUUUGAGGUUGGGGAUUUUGUAUACCUGCGGGUUUCACCGACCAAAGGCGUACAACGUUUUGGAGUAAAAGGAAAGUUGGCUCCGCGCUAUAUUGGUCCCUAUGAGAUUGUAGAAGUUUGUGGACCCGUAGCGUAUCGAGUUAAACUUCCAGAGAAGAUUGCAGCGAUACACGAUGUUUUCCAUGUCUCACAACUCAAGAAGUGCAUUCGGGUUCCAACUGAAAUCAUCGCCUCGGAAGAAUUGGAGAUUGAACCCGAUUUAACAUACAAGGAGUAUCCUGUUAAGAUCCUUGACCGGAAGGAAAGACAUACUCGUAGGCAAAUGGUAAAAAUGUACAAAAUUUGGUGGAGUAACCAUACGGAAGAUGAAGCGACCUGGGAGACGGAAGAGUAUCUCAACACUAACUUCCGCGGUUUUCUUUUCGACCAGGAAGGUACGUUGCACCGGCCACACUAGUUCCUUUCUGCACUUGAAUCUCGGGGCGAGAUUCCUUUAAGGGGGGUAGGCUGUAACAACUCUACCUAAAUUAAGUGCUUUUAAAUAUAAACCAGUGGCUAAUCACUAAGUUAAAGAAGUAAAAUGACCAUUUUAACCCUAAGAAGCUCUUUUUGGAGUUUGAAAUAAAACUUGGAAUUUUAUAUGCAAACUUAAAAUUUUGCCCAAAUAAGAGUUGUAAAACUUUCAAUUUCAAACAACUUUUGUUAAAGGAACUUUGACUAAUUCGGAGUGGGAGGAAGUCAAAAACAGCAAUCAAAACCGGAGUACUAAAGAACCCUAUAAACCUCCUAAGUCCUGGUUUUCAAAUUUUCCCUCCAACUUUGCAAGCAUUUAUCUCACGAUUUUGUAUCUAAACUCAAGUCAGGCUCUUAAUAAAAGUUGUAGUCCCUCAAGUGUGUUCCAACUUUGUUACACUAACCCAGGUCCAAAUCGGGCCAGAACCUGUUCACAAUCUUGGUCAAAGUGAGGUAAAACAGUCAACUCAUCCCCUGAGCCCCACAACGCUAAGUCUGAAAAACUGCUCAGAGUGCACCUCUUGGCGAGGGCGUUCCUCCAAAUUUUUGAACUAAACUCAAGAAAUAACCUGAAUAAAAGUUUAAGUCCUCAGUUUGGAGAGCAACUCCUUCAAUAACACUUCAGUCUAAUUCAACUUGGAAGCUGCCCUAAAUUCGACUCAAACAUAGCUAAGUUCCUGAAAUUCCACCUCUCCGGCCAAAAUUGGCUAAGUCUGGAUUUCCAGAUUUUUAGCAAACUUUGGCACGAGAUAUCUUCAAAUCCUUUCACAAUCUAAACCAGCACCUUAAACCAAGUUUGAACUACGUCCAGAGUUGAACAAGUUUGUUUAAAGGAGUUUUGGAAGAUGUGUUGCAAAAUCUUAAGUUAGGAUCUCCCAAAGCCGGUCGGGCUUGCUGCCCGAAGGGGGCCUCGACGCCCGCGCGCCAGAGCACGUUCGCCCGCGCGCCACGCGUCGCGUGGCCGCCGGCCACCGGCAGUUCGCCGGCGCCCUAUCACCGGCAAGACAACGAUAGGGCAAGGGCCACGGCGCCCAACCCGCGCUUGCGACAGGACGGUGCGAAUGCCGGGCUAGCGAACCGCCGGCCGCGCGGGUGUCCUUUUCCCCCUGCCACGGCUCUGCUCCGCCAACCGUGCUCCGCCCGUCCGCGGGAGAAGCCGCCACGCCGAUGACAUCCCGCGCCUCCGCCCGCUCGCCCAACCCCAAUGGUAGCCCUCCGCUUCGCCCGCCCGACAGACCGGAAGCCUCAGACACGCAUCGCCCAAGGCCAAUCCCCGCCGGAGACCACUCGGAGCUCCGACUCCUCUGCCCAAUGGCGCCGCUGGCCAAUGGCCGCCUCGCCCGCGCACCCGCCGCACCUGGCCUUAUCCUUCCUCCACCAGAGCCCCGCCUCGACCCUCCGCUCCACCGCUGCCCUAUAAAAAGGUCCCUCUCACCGGCAACGCCACCCUUUGCCACCACCCACAAUCGCGCCACCGCUUCCUCCUCUGCGCCGCCACUAAUCUUCCGUGGAGCUCACCCCUCCGCGCCACCCCGCACUCCGGCGACUUCACCGCUUGCUUUGCCAACCCACCGCGCACGUCUCCGAGCAGCUCGUGGCCUCCCCGACGCCGCCGAUGCGCCGGAACGUCGCCUGCACCGCCGCCAGCCAAGCUCUGUUGCCGCCGCCGCGUUCCGAUCCCCGUCGGCCAUCUCCGUCGCCCCAACCCCGCCAAACCGAGCUCAGGUGAGCCCCCGCACCUCUCCGGCCACUUGUUGCCCCAUCCUCGCCGGCGAACCGCCGGGGAUUUCCUCACCGCCGCCGCGCGCGCCCCGGGGACCACAUUGCAUCGUCCCCAUUCUUUCCAGGGGCUUGAGCGCAAAACUCAAGGACCCCUGUGUAGUUAAACCUUAAACCCAGGGGCUUGCUUGCAAGUUUGCCACGGCUUUUCUUUUAAAUAAUAGGCAGAAAUAUGGUUGAACUUUGUAAAUGCCCAGUAAAUCGUAGAAAAAUCAUAAAAAUGCCAAACCACUUUUGCUAGGAUCCUUGCUCUGUCUAGUUCCUAAGAAAAAUAAGUUUGCUCAUGUUAAUGUUGUAAAUAAUAUCCUAUGCUUUUAAUCAUGUUGUAGGCCUUUUAAAUCCUAAUAAAUAGAAAAGUGGGAAAAAUGUGGAACCAACUCUGUGAUGCUUGUUUCUAUGUGUAGAAGCUCAGAAAAAUGGUUCGGGCUCUGGUCUAGCAUUUUAAGUCACUGUUUCGACUUUAAAUUGGGAAUCUAAAUAUAAAUCUUCCUUUUUGCAUAAGUUUUGAUCUAGAGCUCAGAAAAAUGUGAAACUAGUUGGGUUAAUUUUGUUUUGCUGUGAAGUUUGCUGGAAAAAUAUAAAUUGUUGUGCAAAUCAGAAAGAAAAACACCUUCCUUGCUAAGCAUGUUUAAUUAAGAAAAGAAAAGGAGUAAAUAGUAACCUUCUCCAAAAAUUAUGAAAAAUUCACCAAAGCUCCUGUAACAUACCCUUAACACACUGCUUAAGUUUCACCCUCUGUUGCACAGUAACUUUGAAGAUGGAAAAAGUUAAGCUCAGUUUACCUUUAAUAAUAAAAUGCAUGUAACUUCUUUUUAAGUCAUCCUUUGGCCCCCAAACUUUUACAGUAACCUAGUGAUGGCUUAAGUGAGGUGCUGUAAUUUUAUCAAUGCCUUUAACUACUAUUUGGAUAUGAAGUCAUUUUGGUUAAUUAAUCAACCUAAAGGAAUAAAAGGAGAGCGCAAAUUCUAAUACGAUAAAUAAGUGGACACUGAAAGAGGUACAUCAAAACAUUCAGAAGUAAGUAAUUAUUCCAAUGCACCCAAACCACCCAACACGACCUUUCACACUCUUUAUGCAACUCUAAAUGCAAGAAAGCUAUAUAUGUACACAAUCGCCAUUCAACGCGAACUCAAGUUUAAAACGACCACUUUCGUUUGAAGUUAAAAGAAAGUAAACCUCUCCAAAGUGUUUGUGGCUGUUGUGACUCUUGUCUUAAGCCAUGCCUUGUGUCGUUGAAUAAACGCGCGAGUCCAACUAAAUUUUUGCAUGUGCAUGUCGUAUAGAAGCAAAUCUCGCCGACGGAACCUACGAGCUCCACCCGGCACCAGAGAAAGACCCCGCUGCGGAGCUUCACCACUUGGAAGGCGAGCCCAAACCGGAGCAAGAUCCUAAGGACCCGCUAACUUUUCCUGAAGGCAAGCCCCGGAGCAUAAAUUCCUAUAUUUGAAUACUUGCAAUAUUAUUGAACACUUUGAUUGCGCAUUUACGUUUAUAGGAGUUGUAAUGAAACCUUAGAUGCAUGUACUAGUUGCUAAAGUCGAGUAGUUGCAAUGCUUAAUAGGUUCCGGUAAAAGUCGAGUGAUUUCCUAUCACUCGCGAGUUAUAAGAGUUGAAUGUUUACUUAUGUUGCAACUAUAAGGACGAUGGACAGGGUCGGGCUUAUGUUCGAUACUUGGUGAUUUUCCCCGUCUGUCUAAAGGAAAUUUAUCUAAGGUCGAAACGUGUCGGCGUUCGUGAUCAAGUGUUUGAAAGUACUAAUCUCAUACCUAGUAUGGGAUGGGGAAGCCUAGUACCUGAUUGAACUGGGGCGUGGCAUACUCCCCCGGCUGUCCUUGGAACACCGUUCCCAUGGUGCAUCAUGUGGGUGCAAGUGCGGUUAUAGUACGGCAGAGGCCGGGAUUAUGGAGCAUUGCAUGCCAAUGGCAAUUGGCCCUGACACGUGCCUAAGGGAUUGAUGGGGACGGCUGACAAAUGAAGCGACCCUUCGUGGUGCGCAGAUGUCGUGAGAUUAGGUUCGCCAUGCAUGGUUAAUAAAUUCAAAUCGAUUCGGCUGCCUCUCACAGUUUGGGACUACUUGAUCGCUAUUCUGCACUAAGUAACAAUGAAACAUGAUUAUGAGAUUAAGUUGAUGCUUGUUAUUUAACUGCUUGGAAAUCAUGCUUGUUUAGCAUAAGUGGCUAAUCUAGAAUGGUUAAAGAACGUAGAACUUGAGCUAAAAUAUUGAAAGUAAGGACCGAUUGUAGACGCUUGUGGCAAAGAAAUCGCAGAGCCAGGAAGCCUUGCAUGUCUAGGUCUUGGUAAAGCUUUUCACUCGACGGGUCAGUCUUGUUGAGUAUUAGUUGCUCAGCCUUGUUGUGGCUUAAUCUUUUCCGGUGAUGUCAAUAGUUUGGUUGCGGGCACCACUUGGCCUACCCAGCUCCCUCCGGGCUGGACAGUCGAGUGGGAUCCCUCCUCGGACGGCGAGGGAAGGGAUUUUUGAUGUCAUGAUUGGCUCCGUCGUGAUGUCAUGUAUCGACGUUUAGCUUCCGCUUUUUUUAUCUGACUUUUCGAACCUUGCAACUUGUUUGAAUUUUCAGAAACUCUGAUGUAAUAAUUUGUGAAACUAAGUAAUGUGAUGGAAUGUUGUAAUCUCUGUGCUACUCACCUUCGUGUGAGCGAUACUUCUCGAUCCUAUUUAGGUGGUUCAUCGGAUGAAAUCCGACGGUCGACCAGGUUGACUUGCUUAAAGUGCAUGAUCGUGUGUCAGGCGACUUCAAUGCAUUUUAGUCAGGUUAAUUUGGGCGGUUCCGCCACAGCAAGCCCCCGAGGACGAGGACCGGCAAAGCCAUGAACGCACGCUGACCAGAGUUAGGCGUCCAGCCCCCGAGCAUGAGCGCAAGGACUGGUGGAAGCACGUCGAGUUGCCUCCCGCCCUAAGCCGAGGCAGAGAGGUUGGCUGGGCGACGGGCGACACGUGGAGUCAUCUACGGUACCUAGCCGCCGAGCCUGGGAGCAGGACGAGUUGCAAAAGCAUGCCAAGUUGCCUCUUGCCCUGAGCUAGCAAGGUCGACCGGGUGACGGGAGGCACGCCAAGUCAUCUGCGGUGCCCAGCCCCCGAGCCUUGGAGCCGGCCGAGCCACAGAAGCACGCCAAGCCGCCUCCCGCCCCGAGCUAGAGAGGUCAGUCGGGCAAUGGGAGGCACGCCGAGUCGUCUGCGGUGCCCAGGCCCCGAGCCUAGGAGCCGGACGAGCCACAAAAGCAUGCCAAGUCGCUUCCUGUCCUGAGCUAGAGAGCUCGGCCGGGUGACGGGAGGCACACCGAGUAGUUUUUUGAGCUGUAAAAGGACAAUACAAUCAUUAUGUAGCAUAAUGUAGAUUAUUUAAUCAUUGAACAACUCGGAAGUUUAAUACGCUGUAGAAGUAAACUCUUGCUAAUCCUGCUCUUGUAGGCCAAGUAAAUUCCCCAGGUAGUUAGCUUAUUACGUUCAAGCACCUAGCCCUACUAACCACUGCUCAUGGAGAGGAUAGUUUAUCUCAGGCUAUAGCGCUGGGGCUGACCUGAUGCUCGCAUAUAGGAGACGCGCAGGAUGAGUCAAGGUUUCACGGAUUAAGGCGUGUGCUACCCGAGUACUUUAGCAACCGUUAACAGGGACGGAUAAGCCGCAAAGCAACUGGAGCUAUGCAAAAAAGCACCAGCAUGAGCUGGGCACCCAUGGGGUGUAGCCCCCGGCCGCCCGUGUAGUGGGUGGACCAAGCUGUAUAAGUAGGCACGGUGCGACCAAGGUGGUCGGCGAAAGUCACGAGGACAUAGGAGAGCUGAGGUGGUCGACAAAAGUCACAGGAACAUGGAGGAGCCGAGGUUUAUGUAGGUAUACGGAAGUCGUAAAAUAUUUAAUUAUAAAUAAGACUUAUCCUUAUUUGUGGUCAAGUCAAAAAACCCGCGUGUCAUCUUCGCGUUUAGGCUUAGAAGCCCCUGAGCGUGGUCGUCGGAUAGUUGUUGGUGAAGCAAACUAGUUGGGCAUGCCCAACUAAUUCAUGUCGAGGCCGAGUUGUUGGAGUUGUUAGCGGCACGUUUGUGGUAUGCUACUGCCGAGUCGAUGCGGCCAUCGGGUCGUGGCCGGCUGGCCGCCACGCUCACAGUACAACAUGCCUAGGUUGUGCUGCCAAACCAAGGGUGCAUGUAAAUCUUUCCGAAGCUUGUAAGGAAGCCCUCACAUAUUAAGGAACUCUAUACCUAAUACCAUCAUGGUUGUUUUGCAAAAAAGUCUCUCAACUUUUUUGUAAUCAACCCGCAGUCUUUGGAAUGUCUUGAAGAUUGUGCAAAAAGAUCCCCAAACUUUACUGCAAUUGGCCAUCGAAGCUCCCACAGCGUGCACCUAUGCCACAUGCGGUGCGGACGGGUGUGCCGGCUGCGACUGCAAGCUCCUCGCUGCGGCAGGGACCAGGUCGAGCAGCGACAGCAAUGACGAAGGGGAGUAGUCUGCGUCUGCGUGCCAUGCCACCGUCACCGGGCAAGCUGUGGUAGCGGCGGAGUGGGAGAGUGAGUCCAUUGGCGUGUGGAGGGUGCCGUGGGGCAGGUGGGUGGCGGAGAUCUGCAACCCACACCUCGCUGUGUGCAAGUGGCUCAGCACCUUCGACACCACUGAGGACGCCGCGCGUGCCUACAACGUCGCCACCGUCGAGUUCCGAGGCUGCUGUGCCAAGCUCAACUUCCCCGACGAUGCGGCUCUCGCACCUGCACCUUCCUAGGUGCUGACCUCGACAUACCAACACCACCACCACCUGCCGCAGCCGCUGCUCGAGAGCCUGCACGAGACCUGCGGGUCGAACGCAUCCUCAUCAGUGGACGUGGCUCUUGUGGUAGCGGCACCGACUGGGCAGCACGACACGAGGCCGGUGCCGAAGGAGCAGGACAUAUGGGACACGCUAAACGAGUUCAUGAUGAUGGAUGACGGUAGCUUCUGGUCGCCCAUGCCAUGAUCGUCAUAUUCUCCUCUUGUCUUCACUUUCGUUGCUUAGCAGAUAAUGGUGGUCAGCUGCCCUCUAGUCUGUCGUCAAUCGCCAGCCAUCCAUUGCUUUUAUAUGGUUUUACACUAGCUUUUGGGCUUUGAUCACACCUCCACACCCAUACGAAACGACUAGCUAGAGCGAUGUUGAUCUACUGCCUACCGCGCGCUAGGGCGAGCAGCUACUCACUCGGGCUGCAUGCCCUACCCACCACCUGGACCUAAGAGGUGAAGGAGAGAGGAGGAAGGGGGAAGGAAACAAGGAGCCGAGUGCCUCUUUGUAGUCAACCAAGUAGAGCCAUAUGCUAGUGAAGGCAUGGCGCCAGCGAGGGGGGCGCAGCGGCAGUCGGCAGGCAACGCAAACAGGGGCGGAGGUCGAGACCUCACACCCCCCUCUCAAUGACGUCCAUCCCCUUCAGAUCCGGAACUAAAGCCUCCACACCUAGCAAUUGGGGGCUCGAUUUUGCACUUGAUUGGAACGAUUUGGAGUGGAUUAUAGAAGGGAGGUGGAUGGAAAUGAGAAGAAGAGGAAAACGCACUCCUGCUCAUGGUGGCCAGAGGCACUGUGGCCUAGCGCUCAAAGCGGGAAUGAGGCUAGGCACGGGAAGGACGAGCGUUUGCCUGGGCGACGACGAGGAUGGCAAGAUGCGCAGCGCUUAGACGACGGUGAAGAUGGGGCAAGAUGUGGGUGGCACCGAUGGACGAAGAGGCAUCGACUGGUUAGAUGAUAAUGAGUACGGGGAAAAUUGAAUGAAUUUAUAGAGCGGUGGUUGAGCGGUGAUUUUUUUUGUUUCCAUGUGUGGGUCCCACGUAAUAAACAGAUGGCAUCAAACCACCCACAAAUAUCUUCUACUACUGUACUCGGACACCGCACCAACAUAUGGUGAAGUGAAGCUAACAUAUUAGAAACAAGCGAAUAAUAAUGUGAGAGUAAGUAAAGACCUGUAGUAACGUACGGGUAUUUCUGCUAGUAAGAAAAAAAAUUGUUAGUAAGCACCGAGCAACGUAGGAGAUCUACUGGAUGGAAUAGAUUAAAUAAUAAAGGGAAGGGAGAAUUGUUCUCUUUUUUUUCCGUGGCAGAUCUGACGUGUGUGCAUGCAACAAGUUGAGGUCGACGUGUCGUGCUAAAUCAACCAGAUCGUACCGGGGCUGGAUCAGGCGAGCUUGGUUGUGGCCGGGAUGAGGCCAAUAAGGGCGCCGCCCUUGACCUUGGCCUCCUAUUCCUCGCGGAUCUUCUGCAUCUGGAGCAUCCGCUCCAUGAUGAGCUUGUACUGGCACUUCUCGCAGGCGUGGCGCUCGGGCUCGCACUUCCAGCGGAGGUAGAACUGGGAGGUGCACGCACUGGUCAUGGUAGGCGAGUGGAACCCGAGCCUCCGCCAUCUCCACCUGCGUGACGAUCUGGAGCUUCGAGGAGCCGAACUGCACGCCGCCCGCCGCCUCCAUCUGUCACUUUGUUCCCCUCUCUCUCACUGGCGAGGUCGUUCCGUCGAUAUAUGGGCGCUGCGGGUUUGGUGCGGCGUGGGUGGGUAGGGUGCAGCAAGGAUGUGAGGAACCCUCUCGGAUAGAGAGAUUGCUGACCUACUGGGUAAGCGGUGUGAUGAUCCUUGGAUAGAGAACUUGCUCCACCAGAGUAAAUCUGACAGAUGCCGAGCUGGCGGCGGGCACCAAGUCGAAGUCCACUGACAUGCUCCUGAAGCGAAGCUGGAUCGGGUUGGUGAGAAAGUCCUUCAUGCUCUCAGGGAAAGUAAUGCCGGGGCGGGAUGCAAUCAAGCUCGCUAGGGAGGAUCUCACAAUCAUCCCUACCUGGCGCGCCAACUAUUGGAUUUAUAAGCCCGAUAGUCCACCAGGGGGUUACCCAAGUUGUUGAUUUGUAGGUGAGGGCGAUUGCGAAACCAAGAACUCUAAGGUGAUCGUGAAAACACGAAGGGACACGAAGGUUUUAGAUAGGUUGGAACCUCCGAAGAGUAAUACCCUACGUCCUGUAUGCUGGUUUGUAUUGCUUGAGAUUGAUAUGAUUGUUGGGAUACCCUUGGGGGUGCCCUUGGCCGCUUUAUAUAGGCUGACGAUCAAGAGUUACAAGUCAGUUUGAAUCUAAUCUACUCGAUAGUUACAUGGAAAGUAAUCUGAGUAGGACUAUAAUACGCGUUCCAUGAUAUUCGGCAUGUUUGAAUUGUCUUGUUGCUUUGACGUGCACUCCAAGUAACUUCAUGUCCUCAGCCCGUACGCCUUGGUCGAGUGGGCCCUACUUGUCAGGUAUGACCAGUAUCCUGAGGUACCCAUAUCUCUCACCUUGGUGCUCCGGCGAUUAGGGUCGGCAACGAGGAUGGGGAUUGGAAGAGGAGAUCGAGGGGACUUUAUGGAGAUGCUUACCGGCGGCGAGGUGGACGGAUUCCGGCUAGAAUUUGGCUGGCGGUGGAAGAACACGGCAACUGGCUCAGGUCUUCGCGAGUGAUGGUACUCCGGCGGUGGAGCGGCGACGAAGAAUGGUGGCAGAGCUGCUCCUCGAUGUCACGGAGCUCCCUAAGGCUCUAGCUUUCUUCGAUAGUCGACGGGCAUAGUGAAUCGGCCAGAGAAGGCUAGCAGCAGCUCCUAGCUCCGGCGGAUGUGGGGGAUGGCGGCGCUCGUGCAAGUAGGGAAGAGCGGCGGUGUGAGGCAGGGCAGUAGCAGGGGCACUGUCUCGACUUUUAUAGGUGUGUGGGUCCGCGCCUGCCUUGGCACGCACGCCGAGGUUCGGCGGUGGCGACGCCCAAGUGCAGCUACGCUUGGCCUUGACCCGCUAGUGGCCGAUGGGCCUAGCGAGCCUAGCCGAGCCAUCAGCUGGGCCGAGUCGGUGCAGGUUGGCUGGAGAGGGUCGGGCUACAAAGACUUGGCCCGAUCGAUUAGGAUUUUGCUUUUUUAGAAAUGAUUUCUCAUGAAAGAAAAAUCUAGAAAAAUUCUAGAUAAUUAAUUUAAAUAACGAAAAAAACCCUAAAAAUCCAAAAUUCCAGGAAAAAUCCUAGAGAUAGUUUGGGACAUGAGGAGUCCAAAUAAAAUACUUGGAGCUCAUGAAAAGGAUUCUAGAACCUUCCAAAAAUUGGAUUUAGCUAUAGAAAAAAUGAGAAUAAAUCUCAAAAAAUCUGGAAAUUCUCAUAAGAACCUAAUCGGCAUCUAAACGCAUUCCAAAAUAUUUGCACUUAUGAAAUACCAAGAUGCAUCGGUAUGAAUGCAACACAUACGGAGAACCAUUAUAUUUAAUUCAGAAAAACACUCAAUUAUUUCCCUAUACUAAAUUUCCUGUCAAGAAAAUAAAUGUUGGAAAAAUUUUAAAAUUAUGAGAAAAACAUUGUUUAAUUAUUAUUUUUAAUCUGAAAGUUCAAAAAUUUUAAGGUGUGGCAGAUACCCUCAGGUUUACAGAAUUUGACAUCCAUGUGCAAAUUGGAUGUAUCCUUCAAUGAUCUGCAAGGUGAAGUGCCAAUAGGGCUUUUUUUUUGCAAAUGCAUCUUACAUGUCGGUUUAUGGAAAUGAUCAGCUUUGUGGUGGAAUACGUCAACUUCAUUUAGCUCCAUUCUCCAUGUCCAGUGCAAAAAAGAAAAAAAAGGAAAUUUGUCGAAAACCCUUGUGAUCACCCUAACAUCAAUCAGUGCAGUUGUAUUCUCAGUUUCAGUACUUGCUGUAAUUGUGUUGAUCUGUAAGAAGCUUAGGAAAAGGCAUGAAAGUCAACUCAUAUCCACAACUGAGGAACGGUAUGAAAGAGUUUCUUAUCAUGCUUUGUCAAAUGGGACCAAUGGAUUUUCAGAGGACAAUUUACUUGGACAAGGAAGCUAUGGCAUGGUUUAUAAAUGUACUUUACAUGACCAGGGUACUACUGUAGCUGUAAAGGUGUUUAACAUAGAACAAUCUGGGACUUUUAGAAGUUUUGUCGCUGAAUGCGAGGCACUCAGAAGGGUGCAUCACCGUUGUCUCGUAAAGAUCAUCACUUGUUGCUCAAGCAUCAAUCACCGGGGUCAAGAGUUCAAGGCACUAGUUUUUGAGCUCAUGCCAAAAGGUAGCCUAAAUGGUUGGCUUCACGCAGAGUCUGACACACUUACCCCGACAGAUACUCUGAGCCUUGAACAAAGGCUACACAUUGCUGUCGAUAUCAUGGAUGCUUUGGACUAUCUUGAUAAUCACUGUCAGCCAUCAAUCAUUCAUUGCGAUCUCAAGCCAAGCAACAUCUUUCUUGCGGAAGACAUGAGUGAGUGCCCGAGUUGGAGGUUUUGGCAUAUCAAGAAUCCUUCCAGAAAGUGCUAGUAAAACCCAGCAAAAUUCGAAUAGCACAACUGGAAUAAGAGGCACCAUUGGUUAUGUUGCACCAGGUAAUGAAAGAGAUGGUUUUGGUAUUUGAAAAAUGUUCUUAGUUCUUAUGUAUACAUGAGCUGCUGACCUUUGGCUUUUUUUUUUCCAAUAAGAGUAUGGUGAAGGUUCUUCUGUCUCAACUCAAGGUGACGUUUAUAGCCUCGGCAUAUUGCUGCUUGAGAUGUUUACUGGAAGGAGCCCAACGGAUGAGAUAUUCAAUGAUUCUUUGGAUUUGCACAAGUUUUCAGAGAAUGCUCUUCCAGAGAGAAUAUGGGAUAUAGUUGAUCCGACAAUAUGGAUGCACACAGAUGCCUAUAACAGCACUAUAAGAAGUGGAAUUAAGAAUUGCUUGGUUUCUGUUGUUUCUCUUGGAAUAUCAUGCUCGAAGAAACAACCUAGGGAGCGGAUCCCGAUUCAGGAUGCAGCCAUUGAGAUGCACGCUAUUAGAGAUUCGUAUCUCAAGUUUGCCAGAUCUCUUUUGGUGGAGCAUGGAGUAGUAGCAACAACUCACAGUGAUUUCCCACAACAGUGAAUACAUAGGACUGAAAAUGGGCAAGAUGUCUGCAGGUGAUCAGUUUACCUGAAAUAACUGAAGAUGUAUGAAGCUUCAGCUUUAUAAUUCGUCCUUGCAUUUGUUUGCAUCAGAUAUAUGGAAGUAUAAAAUAAGUUUAGAAAAUGUUUCAAAAUAGAUUAGAUCAAGAGGUUUUACUUGUCGUCUGUAUGACACAUUUUUUGUAGAGAAUUCAGUAAUAUGUAUGAUUCAUAAUACAAUCAAUGCUCUGCAAAUUUCAGAUAGCACAAUUGGAAUAAAAAGCUCAUUCAUUGAUUAUGUUGCUCUAGGUGACUCAACUUAUUGUGAUGUUCACUGUAGAUUUCUCCAUGGUCCAAACGACCAUUGUGAUCAGUUAUGUUUAUGCAUUUUGUAGACUUGUUAAGUCUUUCCCUAACUUGCUGACAUAUCAGCCGGAGCAGAGCACUCUGCCAUUCUGCGCCACUCGCCUCUAGGCGGCGCUUGCCGCUUGGUGGCUGCGGUGGCGACCGGCGGCAUCCGUACCUGCUCUGUCGGAGGCUGAGGGGCACAAUUACGUCUUGGAGUCGCCACCGCGCGACCUUCGGAGCUCGCCCAUGCCUCGUCGGUACGAGCUCAGUCGCGCGGUGAAUGGCAUGCGCAUCUGGGGUCCCGUCAGCUGCAGGUGCAGAUGGGUAGAGAGCUUAGCUGCGCUAGGUCUUCAGAAGAUGUUGAGUGGGCUGGAUGGGGCUUUGCGGCUCUGAAUGGCGACGCGGGCAGGACGACGACGCUGGACGCGUGGGGAGGAGACGACCUGAACCAGGGGCAUUUCGGAUAAUAGUCGGAUCGCGAUCAAUAAUCGCAAUCCAAAUUAGGGGGCUAUUUACAAAUAAUAGGGGGUAUUCCGUAAAUAUUCGGUUCGCGAUCAUUAAUCGCGAUCCAAAUGAGGGGUUAAUUGAAAAUAUGAUGGGGGUGUCUUUUGAAAUUCCGGAUUGCGAUCCCAUCCUCCGCCGCGGCUCGCCGGAGCGCCGCCAGACGCCGGCCGUCCCUUGGGGUACCUCUUCUUCGUUCCGUCUGUCGGAGCCCUAAGACGCGGUCGGUGUUUUAUCUGACAAGGAACCCUGAAGUCCGAACUAACUGAAGAAAGACAUGAUGCUGACCUGGAAGAAGAAGACGGCCUCGCCAUGGCCGGAUGCGGCGCGGUGGAAGGACAGUGUGUUGGCGGAGCGGAUGUUGUCCGACGUGAACUCGCCAGCGGCGUGGUCCACCACAUUCCGUCGACGGGCGGUGCACUUGCUGUCGCCUGUCGGCUACUUCCAGGCAGUAGCUGAGCUUCAGAGUUCAGACAGGGUGCUUGUGCUUGCAACAAGUUCAGAACGAUGUCAUUGCUUUGAUGCAGAGGAUGGAGCAAACCGGUUGCAAAUUGGAUUCUGAUACAUAUAACUUAAUAUUGAACCUUUAUGUCGAUUGGAAAUAUGAGAAGGGGUGCCCCAAAUAUGGGAUGAGAUGGAGAGGAGUGGAUCAGGCCCAGAUCAACGAUCAUUUACUAUUAUGGUUCAUGGUCUUCAUUCCCAAGGAAAGCUUGAUGAGGCUCAACAAUGAAGUCAAGAGGGUUGAUCCCUGAACCAAGGACCAAGAUACUGGUGAAAGCUAUACAUAUGAAGAAAGAUGGGGCUGUCACAGAAGAUCAGUCUGUAAAUAUGACAGGGAAGAAUCUAAAACUGGAUCCACGAUCUAGACUAUUCCAUGUUCAUAAAUAGUUUGCUGUCAGAUCUUACUUCUAUAACCUGAACAGAGGAUUGCUGGGCACGUAUUAUGUGUCAAAAGAAUCUCUUCUACCAGUGUCCUGAUCACAAUGGCCACACCUUGGGCUACAAUAAAUCAUCAGCAAAGUGUGUUGGCAUUAUGUAUCCCAGAAAGUUUUGCUCAGACUUUCAAUGCCAGGGUAUGUUUUUUAUGUCUGAUAUGGAUCAAUUAUAUUGCAAGUACUGUAUUACACCCUCGUAUUAUGAAGGUUAUGUGAAAUAUGACAGAUGUUUGUUUAUUCAUUUGUUAUGCAUGGCUGUGUCUACUAUCUAGUUGUUGGCUUGUUGCCAACAUAUGCAGCAGCAGGUAGCUUCAGCCGCUCAGAAGCCCAAAUGAAGAAUGGUCCAGGCAGAAUAGCUAGUCUAGACCCAGAAAGCUUAGGACAUGUCUUGCCAGCCUGCAGUUUUGUACUCGUAGCACCAACCAUCUCCGGGUUCUGGCCGGUUAUAUACAUGGUCUGGAAUGGGCAUCCGCUGAUCGAUUGAAACCUUGAACUGCUUCCGUGUUUGUCUUUUACCAUCUAUAUAGUAUGGUUAGUCAACGGCAUGCAAUACACCCAUGCAUAUGAUUGCAGUAGGAUGACAUGGCGUGACCAGAACCCUUCUUUUGCCAGUUUUUUAUUCUUAUACACGGCCAACAACAGGGAGUUGCCGAUUGCAAUACACCCAUGCUACUAACGCAGCAGGGAGUUGCAUGCUAAGCAGUUCAGCGUAGGUGGUGAGUUCUCAACUCUGAUAUGGUUUAUGGAAGAACACUGUCACGGUGUCACCUAGCCGGUUGGAGGCCAACCUCUUACUAGGGACAGCAAUGGCCCUGUCCACUGUUUCGUGGCUGGUAUUAUUACCCCUAUGCAGUGAAUAUGACAUGUGGAUCUAUGUGUAUAUUAUGUCGCCAGAAGAACAUUAUAUGAACCGUUGAGCCACCUUUGAUUCUAUUAAUGUGUCAUGGUCAAUUGAUGUCAAACUCUAUUAUCUUCAAGUCUUAUUGUAUUGAUAAAAUCACGAUGCUGCUACUGCCAUUUUGAUGUUUAUAAAAGGGUAUUGAGAACCUGGUGGGUAUCCAUUCGAUGCGCAGGGGUGAGGGUGGGGAAAAAUGAGUGUAAAGGACAGGGAUACAGUAUUUAGAAAGAUGGGGCUGCCACAGAAGAUAGUCUCCAAGUACGGCAGGGAAGAAUCUAAAAACUGAUUCCUUGAUCAAGACUGUCCCGUAUUCAUAAAUAGUUCACUGACAGAUCUUGCUUCCAUAUUCUGAACAGCUGAUGCUGGGUACAUAGGAGGUUAACCGGUCAGCGGAUCGAAGGAAAAAAAAAUCUUGCCUGUCAGUGUCCACAAUGGCCUCAUCUUGGGUUAGAGACAAUCAUCCCUAAAGAAUCAUAUUGCCGGAUAAGGUUAUCAGUGAUUGGUAGGUGCAGAUCCAUGCUCAUCCUAGAAACAAGCCAGGGCUGAAUGCGCCACUCAUUUUAGGUGCUUGGAUGUUGUGACCGAAAUGAUCGUGUGUUUAAUGGAGUUUCCCAUAGUGACUAGCGUACAGGCUGUCCUCGUAUUCGAGAAAAAAAAUAAUGGGCGAAAUGUUUUCACCCAGGUAAUUGUUGCAUUGUAUGAAUAGGCUUAGUGGUUGGUGGGUGCAGAGUAUGAAUGUGCUUGUACUGUGACACAAGAAGAUUUAUCAUAUCUAUGUAUGAAUUAGUAUUAAAUCUGCUACAUAAAUAUCUUCUCUUAUCUCAUUGUAUGUGUAUAUAUGACACAGAAGCACAUGUAUAUCAGCAUUGUAGAGAGAGAUGAGAGAGAAGCUUAUCUGCUUUUUGGAGAUAAAUAUUCAAAUUGUGGUGUAUGAGAAGGAUAGAAUUAUUCUAUCAAAUUGUUUAUUCAACAUCUAAAAAGAUUCCAUGUUUAGUCAUCUAUAUCGGCAUUGUAGAGAGAGACUAGUGUUCAACUGGUUGGAAGGAUGAGAGAGAGAGGAGAGAGAGAGGAUGAAUAGUGUUCAGCUGGUUGGAAGGAUGAGAGAGAGAGAGGAGAGUUUCGAUGAUAGAGAGAUUAGUGUUCACCUGGUUGGAAGGAUGAGAGGGAGAUGAGAGAGUUCGGAUGAGGAGGUGGAGAGUUCGGAAGAGAGAGAGGUGAGAGUUCGGAUGAGAGAGAAACAGCUUAGAAGGAUGAGAGAGAGAAAGUGAUAUUUAGCUGGAUGGUGGAGACUUCAUAUAUUACUAACUAGCAAGGUGUCCGUGCGUUGCUACGGUGAAACGACGUUGCUUAGCACGCGAUGUUUUUUAUCGUGUCGUGUAGCGCACCAUAUUUUUUAUCGUGUUGUGUAACUUUUUUAUUUUAGUAGUAUUAGACUUUUCAUAUAUAAAGGGUCACGUGAGUGUGUCCAUAUCCCAACCGUGCGGAAACCGCUUGCCAUCGAACUUGUUAUCUCUUUCUCUAUCUUGAGAUUGGUAUGCUUCUACAGCAAUUCUGCACAAAGAAGGCCCCACUUCGCCCCGUUCCCGCCGUCCGGUUAGUCCCACGCCUACCCUCUCCCUCUCUGAUCCUCGCUGUCGGCUCCUCGAGGUCCAGGUCGGGCUUGUGAUGUAGCGGCCUGUUAUCCUUCCACCAUUGGAAGCGGGUAGUGAUCGCUGCUCUGUGAACCCUGCCUCACGCCGUUCCUACCACUCCAGGUCCAGUGAAGCCUGAGCUUUCGCUUGGACAAACAGCCACUACCAACUUGGAACGGGCAGGGCCAGCAAGGGCAUACAAUGGACCCAAGCCCUCCGCACCCAAACAUCCACACCACUUUAAUGCCUCCACUUGGGUUACAAGCCCGCGCAACCAAGCUCGGUGAGGAUGACUCGUGAGGAUGAACAUUUAAGUUGGUGUGGCGCUGCUUCAGAUGGCGAGGUGGUACUAAUCUAAGGAAUAGGAAAAUUUCACAUGGGUCCCACACCGCACCCAGCCCUAUCCUUAUCCUUUCUCAUCUCUCUAUCGUCCGUCCGGUCCUUAUCCUCUUCAUCUCAUCUCUCUCUCUCUCCCUAUCUCUCUCUCAAACUCUCUAUCUCGCCUACCCCCUCUUUCUCUGGAGAAGGCGGUGCACGGCUGGCCCCAGUGAUGGCCUGGGGGCGCGGGGUGCCAAUAGCGGCCGAGGGUUGUAGGGCUGCGGCGAGGAGCCUCCCAGCCGUGGAUGCGACGGCCUAGCCAUGGGCACCGGGCAGGCGGCUCUGGCACGACCGGCUGGGGCGGGCAGGGAGAGGCGAACAGCAGUGCUACGACGUCACGAAGAGGCGGACGUCGGGCAUGGGCGGGUGAAAGGGGAGACGGGGAAAGAAAGCUAGACCCACCUAUCAAUGCGUUAAUCUUACCUAUUAUUAAACAUCAGGGCCACCUCUCGUUGAUAGAAGUUGGACCAAACAAGAAAAAGUGGGCAGAAGUGUUCCUCACUUUAAUAAUAAUAAUAAUAAAGUAUAGAUAAUGCAUCCAAACAACAUUCGAAAUUUAAUUUUAAAAAAAACUUUCUCGGUACAUCCAAACAAGAAAAUUCAAUUGAAUUAAAUUCUACUAAAUCCAUUUCUUAUGGAAUCUAAUAGCUAGAAUAUGAUUCAUGGGAUGAGUUUCAACUCUAGGGAUCUAAACAUGCCCUUAGUUAUUUCUUAUGUAGCUCAAAUCAGAUGCAAGGUAUGUCCUAACUAAAAAACGUAAGUUACUUUGUGUUAUCUCGUGAAUCAGUGAUUAAUUACUUCCGAUCACUAGUAGAGAAUUGGCUUUCGAUGCGCCCCCUUUUGUCCCGGUUUAAAGUUGGCCCGGGACAAAAGGUUCACCAACCGAGACUAAAGCUCGGUCACUGGUGGGGGGCUCACCAACCAGGACCUUUUAUCCCGGUUGGAAAGGCUAGUGGGAAAAAAAGAUCAUGAGAGGCUUUUUAUCCCGGUUUGAAACACCAACCGGGAUAAAAGACCCAUCUAACUAUAUAGGGGAUGUUACCAACCAGGAUAAAAAGGGUCGAGAGCCUUUUAUCCCGGUUUGUAAUACCAACUGGGAUAAAAGGGGGUCAUUUAUCCCGGUUGGUGUUUCAAACCGGGAUAAAAGGGUCCCAACGAGGUGACUGAAACAUGACUAAAUCCUGAACCCUUUUAUCCCGGUUUGUAAUACCAACCGGGAUAAAAGGGGGUCUUUUAUCCCGGUUGGUGUUUCCAACCGGGAUAAAAGGGUCCCCCACAAGUUAAUACAAAACGAUAACAUCCCCUAUAUAGUUAGAUGUGGUGUGUAGGUGGGAUGGCAAGGAAGCUACGCGCGAGGCUGGAGGUUGUGGGUUCGAAUCCCAUGCAGCGCGCACGCGCAUAUUUCGCGUGGAAAAUCGCGUGACUUGCGACGCGCGUGUGGGGGGCCUCCUGGGAGCUCGGAAUUUCUUUUUUUUGUUUUAUCCCGGAUGGAUUUUCGGAAGAUUUGCACCCUACCAAUCGGGACUAAAGGUCAAUUCUCUACUAGUGAAUCUUAUGUAAAAAGAACUACGAGUUAAAUUCUUUGUCAGAUUUAUACUGACAAGUUACAAGCACAUGCCUCUGCAGUAACAGGCCAGCCCUAGACUAGCGGGCAAACAAAAACAACAUGAUUCGUCAACUGAUCGAAUGUUAAUGACUAUUUUGCUAGGAGAAUGAACAUGAUUCAUAAAAAAAGGGGAGCUACUAACUUGGUCAAGGUCUCCGUCCUCUAGCGUGGCGAAGGGGCCAUCUUGCUCCACUCCACGUCUGCGUGGUUGCUAGGUGGGCGCGACGGCGGCUGCGGAGUGCGGACGGGCGCGUAGAUGUGUCAUUGUUGAUCAGGACAUGCGCUUCUAUCACCGUCUGUGGUUGGCGUCCGCGGCCGAGCGGGUCAAGGUCUCCGUCCUCUAGCGUGGGGAAACAGGAUCUCUUCAAUCAGUGCUUCUACAGAAACGGUGCACGGUCACCACGGACCAACGACAUACCAUGAGAAAAGCGGAGCUAAAUGUUGCAGUAGCAGAGUAACCGGAGACUGGAGAGCACUUGCUGCUAAAAGCUGCCUCUUAUUUUGUAUCGUCUUUAACAGAAGACUUUAAGUCAACCGCCAUUCGAUUCCAAUAUAAACUAGCAAGUUGGCCCGCGAUGAUAGCACGGCUAGAUUUGAUACAAUAUAACUUUUUUAAAUGCUAUGUUAGCUUAGUAUAUUUCUUCGUCCCUCUUGAUUUGUUUUUCAUCCUCUUGAAAUCACUUAGUAUACUUAGGUGCCUUACUCUACACAUUGAGUAUCAAGCCAUAUGUGUAUAUUUGUUUUUUUUUGCAAAUGAACUCCGAUGCCACAUGUGCAUAUGCACGCCUAAUUAAAAUUGCUCACUUGUAACAAAAUAACAAGAGUAGUUGAUUCUGAUCUUAUGUUGCAGUUUUUGCCAACUUUUCCUAGUAUUAUUGUGUUGAGUAGAAAGCCUGUGUAGAAAAAGAUACAAAACAAACAAUCGUGUUAACUACUCCCCAUACUUGCUCAAAUGAUUUUGAAAAAUAAAAACAACCGCGCUCUAAGUCCUAGGUGGUGAUAUUCCUCCUUACUUUCCUCCUCUCGUUUUCCUUGCACAAUCGAGGAUGACAAAUACCACAAACCACUUAGGCUCGAUCAUGUUUCAUCAUCACAUUCCUCAAAUCUUGAUCACGUUGUUGUCUUCAUUAUGCUAGCAGUACACAUCUCUCCGCCUCUUCUCACUGGUAGAGAAUUGGCCUUUAGUCCCGGUUGAUAGGGUGCAUAUCUCUCGGAUAUCCAUCCGGGAUAAACCAACCGGGACAAAAGGGAGGGUCUUUAGUCCCGGGUCUUUUAACCGGGAGUAAAGGUCCUCCUUUAUUUCCCAACCGAGACUAAAGGGUUACCCUUUAGUCCCGGCUGGAUUCCAACCAGGAGUCCCGGCUGGAUUCCAACCGGGACUAAAUGGCGCCUGCAUGGCACUGCCGUGGCGCCUGAAUUUUUCAUGCAUGCAUCACGUACGUAGUACCGCGACCCUUUUAAUUUGUUAAACUUUAGUAGUUGAGAUUUUUUUAGAACGAAAUCAACUAGUAUUUAAACGAAUGGGAUUUGUAAUUAUACAAUUACUAUAUAUGUACACAAUCCUUAUACACAAUUCAUAUACACAAUUCAACUAGCUUAGUACAAAUUGAUCAUAAUUAGCGCGUAUUAUAUAUACAAAUAAAUCAAAGUAUCUGUCUACAAUCUUCCCGUCGUGGUGUUGCUGAUCGGAGUGUCUAAUUGUCGUCCAUCGUAAUAAAAUUCUCCUUUUGGAUUUACCACCUUGUCCAUUAUGAAUCCAAUGAGACUUUCACAUAUUGCCGCUACUCUUUCUUCCUUCAAGAGUCCUUGUUGAAUAUUUAACAUCUAUAAUUUGGAAAUUUUUGAAUGUUACACGAACAAAUACAUAUAAGGAGCUAGAAAAUAAUUAACUAGUAAUAGUUUUAUUUUACGUACUUUAAAGUUGUGCGGCGUCAUCUUCGGUCCCUUGGGUCCCAUAAAACUGUGCAUGUGCUCACAGAUGUAGUAGCCACAUAGAUUAUUUCCGGGUUCCUGUCUUAAGCACUUCAGUGCGGAAAAAAAUAAGUUAUGAAAUAUUCGUAUUAUACAAUGUAAUAAAUGUGCAGACUUCAUACGUACCGGGAAGUCUGUGUUCCAUGUAAGUUUUUCUUUGAAUGGACCUUUGUGUGUCCUUAUGAAUUGUUUCCAUGCGCUGCAGAUUAGAAUAAUGAAUGAUAUAGUGUAACAGGAAUAAAAUUUAGGAAAUAAACUUUUGCAUAUAGAUAAAGGUACAGAAUUAUUACAAGCCUAGCAUGUCUUGCACUUCUUGGUAGUCCACCGGAUCUUUCCUUAACGAAUCGAAGACAGUGACGUGGCUUCUUUCAGGCUCAAUUAUAAUAAGAAUCCAGUGGAAGCUGCGUGCGUAAAAUGUUCAUGCAUAUUAGAGCUAACUAACAUGUAGAGAUAAGGAAAAAGACAUCGAAAGUAGACGGUAUACACACACUUACUUGAAGUUGUAUGGAAGUAGUAUGAAAUCCUUGAAUGUUUGUUUGUCUAGGAAAUUGUAUAUUUCCGCAAAGGUUUUUUCCGGUGCUAAUUGUGUCUGUUGUUGGUUAACUACAGAUGGAUCCAUGAAGCCUACAUGUAGGUACGCCUCUCGGCGGCAUGUCUGAAUUAGCAUCCUACAUGAAAUGGAAGAUGAAGUUAGUACGGUGACGCAUGCCAAAAUUUACAUGUAGAGAUAAACGGACACUUACAGAACCUAAGCGCUGAUCAGAGAGACGUCCAGGGCAUCAUGAUGGUACACUUCGUAUAUAUCCUUGAAGUCUAGCCACAGCACUUUCUCCCCUUCACCGUGAAAAUCUAUCGGUUUUACCUUCAUGCCGAUCAUCUCCCUCGAGUCGGCGGAUGCCAUCAUGUACCAUUGAUGGAAUGCGUACAUCUUUGUUGAUAGCUUCCGUACCAAUGAAGGCUUUACUAGAGGUUUGCCUAGCUCAUAAGGCCAUCUCAGCUCAGGGGGCGGUGCAGUUGGCGUCUCAACUUGCCCUAUGCAUUCAUCAAGUCCCAGACCUGUUUCUUCCAUGAACUUCAAUACAUUUGCUUGUUGAUCCAAGGGCAUUGCUUUUACCCGUUGAGCAUCUUUUUUUGAUAAAUGGCUGAGGUCGGGGACUGGACCGCUGGAAGAUGACUUUCCUUUCCUUUUAUCCUUUUCAUCAGCCUUUACUAGAGCCCGUUCAUAGUUUGACAAGAGUGGUAUCCUUUUCUUGGCUCCUUCUUCUAUCCUGAUAAAAAAGUUUAAAUCUCGCCGACUUACUGGCGGUGGCUCCAUCUCCCUUACUUUUUUUUCUUCGGCUUGUUUCUUGAACCACUCACUGGCCUCUCGUUGGAUUUCUGCCCACUGUUCCGCAUGAGACAUUGCCUCCCAGCGUUCCUUACGAGUCACUUCAGGCUCCUUUGUUUUCUUCUUUCUCUGUCUUUGCUUGGGAGGCGGUGCUCGUGACUUCUUUAGUGGUGGUGCAGGUUCCUUCAAGGGGGCCGCUCUUGGUGCCGGCGACGGUGAUCGGGGAGGGGUGUUGUUAUUGUCGUCGUCGCUCCCAGCACCAGGAUGUAGUGGAGAUGGAGACCUUGAUAUAGAUGGAAGGGACGGUCCUGGAGCAGGAGAUGACGGUCUCGAGGUAUGAGGAGAAGGUCGCUGCUGGGGAUCUACGGGGAGCGGUCUUAAGGUCUGAGGAGAUGGCUCCGUGCUGGGAAUAAUGAUGUAGCGUUUUUGCCAUAGAAUAAUCCCAUGAAGCGCAUCUGCCAAUGUCUUUUCCCCGUCGCCUCCCGGGAAGUCGAGCUCUAGACCUUCAUACUAGGGAUCAACUAUUUGCUCUACGCAGACGCUGGCGUAGCCUGUUGGAAUUUCCAUGCCAUGACUGCUCUGCCCCGCCAGGGUUGCUAACGCACUCCCGUACGCUACCUGUACAUAUAGCAGAAGUAAACAAGUUGAACUCCGAUCUCGAGGCCUGGAUCAAUUGACAAGAUUGCAUAAAUAUUAUGUAUAAGUAUACCUUAAUAGUGAGGUUGCCGACCGGUGCAUGCAGCUCACAUGAGGUCCGUUGUGUGAUGGCAUCCACGGGGAACCGUUGCUCCUCCACGGGUAACCUGGGCGUCUGCGCAUCGGGGACCCCUGUAGAAGCACAACUGCUCAAGAGGCGUUGAGAAGGGCUGGCGGUGUUAGGAAUCGGCAAUGCUCCAGAUUGGGCCAACUCCGCAACUGCGUGGGCCACCCGCCGAUUGGUUUCAUCCAUCAUUCUUUGUUCUUGUGCCUGCACUUUAGAUUCUAGCAUCUGCCGCCAGCUCUCCUCGAUCUGUUCCUUUCUUCGCUUCCGGCUUCUGUACGAGGUGCUGUCGCCUCGGAAAGCAAACUUCCACGGAACCACCCCGAACCCUCGGCAACGUCCUGGGUGUUCUGGAUUACCGAGGGCCAAUGUGAGCUCAUCAUUUUCUCGGUCCACCUUCAACCUCCCAGCCUUAGAAUCUUCAAUGUUCUUCAUGAGAUGUUCGGCCUUCUCACGUAUUGUGUCAUUAAAAAUCAACGUCCCAUCCUCUUGGCUUAGGGAGCCUCCAUGAGCGUAGUACCAAUUUUUUGAUCGUUCGGGCCAUUCAAUAGUUGCAGGUACGAUUCCCCGUUCGAUCAGAUCUUGUUCCAUCUUCCUCCACUUGGGAAUUGCUGAGCCAUACCCACCUCGCCCCAAAUGAUGGUGGUAGCCCUUCUGACUAGCAUUUGCUGUGUUGGUCGUGAUCUUUUUCACACCGUCUUCACUCCUCUUAUAUUCAACAAAUGCAUCCCAGUGGUCCCUCAACUUUGGCCACGCGUUGAAGUCUAGAGUUCGGCCCUUCUUGAUGUAGUGGGUAUCCAGCAUCUUCUUGAAUGUCUGGAAUUGAGUAGCCAUCUUCUUAAGCGUCCACGCUUUGACAUCCUUCUCACUAUAUCCUUCGGGGAAUGUGAAAUGUCUCUUCACGUCUUCCCACAGCAUAUUCUUUUCUGUCUCCGGAAGGGCGUACGGAUUAGUGCUUCUGCCCUUCCAUUCUCUGAUGCUGAUAGGCACGUUGUCCCGGACGAUUGCCCCGAUCUGACUCACGUACUUCUUUGCUACUUUCUCGGGAGCAACCGGCCUGCCCUCUUCUGUCACUUCCGUGAUGACAAGCCUCCCUUCCAUCACCUUUGUACAACCUUGGGUCUUCUGCCCUUGUGUCGAUCCGGAGGGCUAACAUUUUAAGAUUCGUUAAUUAGUACGUAGUAGUAACAGUGGCGUGAAACAAUACAAGAAUGGUUAUAUAUACCUCGCCGGAACCUUCCGCCACGGCAAGUUGUUGCUGCGGCUAAUGCUCUUCAUUCCCAUCGGUGGACAUGUUGAGGAACAUGUCCGCCUGGGUGCCCUCUUCAUCCGUGUAUGAUAGUGGAACGUUCUCGCCACUACCAUCACCAGCGAUUAUCUGCUCCAUGAUAUACCUUGCGGUCUCAUUGUCUGCCAUUUCAACUAUUGAUGGAAACAUACAUGGAAUCAUACAUGACAGUCAUAGAAAUCGUCUUACUACAAAUUUCUACAAAGUCCUACAAAGUCCGGAAUCAUACAUGUAUAUAAUGAAAUCAUAAAAUAACAUGAAUCCUACAAAGUCCGGAAUAUUUCUACGAAUUUCUACGAAUUUCUACGAAUUUCUACGUUCUAUGAAUUUCUACGAAUUUCUACGAAUAUCCACAUGCGGUGCCUAGGUUGUGACGGCGGCGAUCAGGGCGGCGGAGGCGGGGACGGUUCCCUGGAACCACGGGCGGUGCCUAGGUUGUGACGGCGGCGGUCAGGGCGGCGGUACGGCGGAGGCGGGGACGGUUCCCCGGAACCACGGGCGGUGCCUACUAGGUUGUGACGGCGGCGAUCACGGCGGCGGGACGGCGGAGGGGACACAUAUACAAAAAUAUAACUUAAAAAAAAUCUAACUUAAAAAAAAAUCUAACUUAAAAAUCUAACUUAAAAAUCUAACUUAACAAUCUAACUAAAAAAUCUAACUUAAAAAUAUAACUUAAUUUUCUAACUUAACAAUCAAAAUUAAAAAUCUAUCAUAAAAAUAUAACUUAAUUUUCUAACUUAAAAAAAAAGCCCUCCCAAUGCUGCCGGCCGGCGCGGCGGCGGACCUCUCGCGCGCGGUCGUCGACGGUGGCCGGGGCGACGAGGGGGCCGGGCGGCGGGACGGCGGCGGCCGGUGCGGCGAGGACGGCGGCCGAGGCGACGACGACGGCGGCGGCGUAGGCGGGACGGCGGCGGCGUAGGCGGGACGGCGACGAGGGGCGACGAGGCGGUGACGAGGAUGGAGGCGGUGACGAGGAUGGAGCCGGCGACGAGGAUGGAGCCGGUGGCCGGAGGCGACGAGGUGGGGGCCGGGCGCGUCGACGGACGAGGAGGAUCGAGGCGGGCCGGCCGGGGGGAUGGAGGACGACGAUGUCUGGGCGCGAUCGGCGGCAGGACGACGACAAACGGCGCAAUGGGGGAUGACGACGGCGGCGGCCGGCGAGGGAGGCGGACGGGCGGCGACGGCGGAGCAGAACGCGUGGAACUUGGCGAAAAUUUUGCUAAGUGUAACUGGCGGGGGGUAGAAGGGAGUACAGUGCCUUUUAAACCCCCCCCUUAUCCCGGUUCGUAAUGGUACCCGGGACAAAAGGGUGCCCCCGCCAGGUGGGGCUGGGAGCGUACCCUUUUAUCCCGGGUGCCACCACCAACCGGGAUAAAAGGGGGGGGGCCUUUUAUCCCGGUUGCAGUUGGCAACCGGGAUAAAAGGGUACGUCCGGGCGGGAGACGAAAAGUACCCUUUUAUCCCGGUUGCCGUUUGCAACCGGGAUAAGCAACCGGGAUAAAAGGGGGCCUUUUGUCCCGGUUGCUGUUAGCACCCGAGACAAAAGGUCUUUUUUCCUAGUUUUCUUCUCCCGCCUGUUUUUUGAAAUGGAUUUUAUUUUAUCUUUUCACUACAUUUCAGGAUGAAAAACAAAACCUUCACAGAUUUUGUACAUGCAAAAAUAUAUUUAAUUAACAAGUAAAUUGACAAUAAGUAUGAAUUAAUCAUUAAUUCUAUACCAGUUCAUUUAGCCUCUAAAAUAUUUAUUUUACUGCGUUGCUGUGAUUAAGAAAUUAUUCAAUUAAAUAAUUUCAAUGCGUAGAAAAAUCCAUGUUUGUAUGUGGUUAACAUUGUUCAUGUUUAUCUAAAAAAUCUUCACCUAACAAAUUUAAGAACACAUGAAAUCAUACAUAGGGUAAAAUUACAAAUUGUAUCGAUUAAUACACAAAGGUCAUGUACAUUUAACGCAUUACAAUACAACGUUGUAAAAUUUCUUCUUCACGAAAGUUCCUUGAUCAUGAUCGCGACGUAAGUACGGAGCCUCUUCUUUGGAUAGCAGGAUGCUUGGAUCAACUUCAACAGCGAAUGGAGGCAUGCCAUCAAACUGAUCAUAAUCAUCUGAUUGGUCUGUUUUAUCCUCGACUCCCACGAUUUUUCUUUUACCUGGAAGAACUAUGUGGCACUUUGGCUCCCAUGUCUCUUCUGGAUUCCUCUUGGGUUUGCUGCACAUGUCCUUCACAUAGAACACCUGAUCCACAUCAUUGGCAAGUACGAAUGGGUCAUCACUGUAUCCAGUCUUGCUCAGAUCUACUAUUGUCAUUCCAUACUGAUCUUUGGUGACGGUAGUUAGCUUCACCCAAUUGCAAAGAAAUAGAGGGAUGUACAGCGGUCCGUAUUCGAGUUCCCAUAUCUCCUGUAUGAAACCAUAAUACGACUCCUUGCUAUUAUUUCUGUCCAUGGCAUCUAUGCGGACACCACUAUUCUGGUUUGUGCUUUUCUGGUCCUGGGCUCUCGUGUAAAAUGUGUAACCAUUUAUCUCAUAGCCUUGGAAUUUGACGAUUGUGCUAGCAGGUCCCCUGGCUAACUAGGCAAGCUGUGGGUGAAUCUCAGAGUUAUCCAUAAGUUGUUGGCGCAACCAGGAGGGAAAAGUUUCCAUGUGAUGACGGGUAAGCCAAGCAUCGGAUUUGGUCGGGUUUUUUGAAGCUACUAUCUGUCUGUGCUGCUCGAUAUACGGAGACACAAAGGAUGACUGUUGUAGAACAGUGUAGUGUGCCUUGUCGAACAAAUCAGUAUCAUUGCUCAAACUUGAUUUCCUUCCAAGGGUGCCCAUUCCUCGGAGCCUCCCCUCGUGGCGUGAAGUUGGAACCCCAAUCGAGUCAAUUGAAUCAAUAAAAUCAACACAAAACUCGAUCACCUCCUCUGUUCCAUAUCCCUUGGCGAUGCUGCCUUCUGGACGGGCACGAUUAAGAACAUAGUUUUUUAGGACUGCUAUGAACCUCUCGAAAGGCCACAUAUUGUGCAGGUAUACAGGUCCGAGAAUACCAAUCUCUUUUACUAGGUGAACCAGUAAGUGCGUCAUAAUAUUGAAGAAGGAUGGUGGAAAUAACAACUCAAAACUGACAAGACAUUGCACCACAUCGUUCUGUAGCUUUGAUAGCUUGGAUGGAUCGAUUGCCUUCUGCGAAAUCGCAUUGAGAAACGCGCAUAGCUUUACGAGCGGCAACCGGACAUUUUCUGGUAGAACACCCCUCAAUGCAACCGGAAGCAACUGGGUCAUCAACAUGUGGCAGUCAUGAGCCUUGAGAUUUGUUAACUUAUUUUGUUUCAUAUUUAUUAUUCCAUUUAUAUUCGAGGAGUACCCAGACGGGACCUUCAUACUAUUCAAGCAUUCAAACAUGCUAUCCUUCUCUUCCUUGCUGAGAGUGUAACUGGCAGGACGUAAGUAGUGCUGUCCAUUAUCUCUCUUUUCCGGAUUUAGGUCAUCUUGUUGCCCCAUGGCUUUCAGGUCCUGUCGUGCUUCCAAUAUAUCUUUUGAGGUUACAUAAACACCCAUGAAGCCUAGCACGUUCACGCAAAGAUUCUUCGUCAGGUGCAUCACGUCUAUUGCGUUGCGAACCUCUAGGAUUUCCCAAUAAGGUAGCUCCCAAAAUAUUGACUUUUUCUUCCACAUGGGUGCAUGUCCGUUAUCGUCGUUCGGAACAGGUUGGCUACCAAGUCCCUUUCCAAAGACUACAUUUACAUCCUUCAUCAUCUCGAACACACGCUUUCCAUUACGGUGUGCAGGUUUUUUACGAUGGUCUGGCGCCCCUUUGAAAUGCAUCCCGCUCUUUCUCAGCUGGUGGUGAGCAGGGAGAAAUCGACGAUGACCCAUAUAGACGACCUUCUUACAGUGCUUCAAGUACAUGCUGUCUGUGUCAUCUAAACAGUGGGUGCAUGCCCGAUAUCCCUUAUUUGUCUGUUCUGAAAGGUUACUCAAUGCAGGCCAAUCGUUGAUGGUUACGAACAACAAUGCUCGUAGAUUAAAGAUCUCUUGUCUAUCCUCAUCCCACACACGUACACCUUCUUCCUUCCAGAGCUGUAAAAGGUCAUCAACCAACGACCUUAGGUACAAGUCAAUGUCAUUGCCGGGUUGUUUUGGGCCUUGGAUAAGCGCCGGCAUCAUAAUGAACUUCCGCUUCAUGCACAGCCAAGGAGGAAGGUUGAACAUACAAAGGGUCACAGGCCAAGUACUAUGGCCACUACUCAACUCACCGAAUGGAUUGAAUCCAUCAGUGCUUAAACCAAACCUUAUGUUCCUUGCUUCACUUUCAAAGUCUGGGAAUGUUCUAUCAAUUGAUCUCCACUGUGCCCCAUCUGCGGGGUGUCUCAGCAUCUCAUCUUCCUUACGGUCUUCUUUGUGCCAUCGCAUCAACUUAGCAUUCGCCUUGUUCCUGAAUAAGCGCUUCAAGCGUGGUAUUAUAGGGAAAUACCACAUCACCUUCGCGGGAACUCUCUUCUUGGGAGACUGCCCCUCGACAUCACCAGGAUCAUCUCGCCUGAUCUUAUACCGCAGGGCUUCGCAGACGGGACAAGCAUCCAAUUUCUCGUAUUCAUCACCACGAUAGAGGAUACAAUCAUUAGGGCAUGCGUGUAUCUUCUGAACAUCCAAUCCGAGAGGGCAAAUAAUCUGUUUAGCUUCAUAUGUUGUGGACGGUAAUUCAUUAUUCUCGGGGAGAAUCUUCUUGACAAUGUUCAACAUCCCCUGAAAUGCCUUAUCGGACACACUAUUUUUUGUCUUCCAUUGCACAAAUUCUAGUGUCGUACCUAGUUUUUUAUGGCCCUGCUGGCAACCUGGGUACAACAAUUUUUGGUGAUCAUCUAUCAUGCGCUGCAACUUUGCUACUUCCUUCUCAGUUUUGCAAUCUCUGUAUGCAUCUCGUAUCACCUGACGAAGGUCAUCAGUAGGGCCAUUUUCUGCAAACUCAUCUUCAUCAGCCUCGCCCAUUGUAGUACCUACAAAAGCUUGGCCUGCAACCCAGUCCGGAAUGGUGUCAUCUUCCUCCUCCUCCUCGCCAUCUUCCAUUACAACCCCUAGUUCACCGUGCUUGGUCCAAACCAAAUAGUUAGGCAUGAAACCGUAUUUAAACAAGUGGCUGUGAAUAGUCCCCCAGCUUUCCUUUGAAUACUCCUUCCUGUUAUUGCAUUGGAAGCAUGGACACAUACGAACCUAUUCUCUGGCUUGUUCGCUUUUGCCAUUUCGAGAAAAUAUGCAAGCCAUCAAUAAACGUCUUGCUCCGCCUGUCUGCNNNNNNNNNNNNNNNNNNNNNNNNNNNNNNNNNNNNNNNNNNNNNNNNNNNNNNNNNNNNNNNNNNNNNNNNNNNNNNNNNNNNNNNNNNNNNNNNNNNNAACAUAUUGAAGGAGAAGGACAUACCUCCUUCUCGUCGGUAAAUCACGCGGGUUAGCCUCUGAGCCAGGUAUAUUGUCCAGUCGAUGCAGAAGGGAUCACAGUUGUUACCUAAGUCUAGUUUAGCCGCGGAGCUCAGCUUCAACCCGGAUUAAAGGUGAACCACCUUUUAUCCCGGUUGGAGCCUCCAACUGGGAUAAAAGGGUCCCGCCACCAACAGCUCCCCACUAGCCGUUGCAACCGGGACUAAAGGGGGGCCUUUAGUCCCGGUUGCAAUUACCAACCGGGAGUAAAUCUUCCCUCCAUUUUUGCCUACCGUGGCGCACCCCCUUUUGUCCCGGGCCAACUUUAAACCGGGACAAAAGGGGACGGAUCGAAAACCAAUUCUCUACUAGUGUCUAUUCCACAAAACCAUAAUUGUUCACCGGCUCCAGCAUUGCUGUUGCUCUCCACCAAUGGAGGAAGCUCUUGUCCUUGGCACCACCUUAUCCACUGACCAGCUGAAGUUAUCUGUACGUCCUAAGGUCUCAUAAGAUUUUUGAUGAAUUUGCAUUAAUACUAAUAUUGCCACCAAUCUAGUCUCAACCUUGCCUCGUGUUCUCCGUGGUCAUGUUUUAUUCUAACUUGCAAGCCCUACAACUACAUAUGAUGGUUCUUCUAUAUGCAUAAUAUAUCGCAUCUCCUAAGACAUAUCGCGGGCCGGCGGCGCGCGGGGGAGCGGUGCCAGCAGAGCGGAGGCGACCGGCGGUGGGCAGAGGUGGGUGGGUGCGGGUGCGGGCGAAGGCGGAGGAGCAUGUGGGCAGAGGCGGGUGGGCGUGGGCGGAGGCGGAGGCGGAGGCUGGCGUGGGCGUGUGCGGAGGCGGAUGGGUGGAGGCAUGCAGCGGCGGUGGGCAGAGGCGGGCGGGCGCAGGUGAGUGGCAGCUGGGCCAGCGGCGUGGGCGGAGGCGGAGACCGGCAGCGGUCGGGCGGCGCGGGCGGGCGGCCGGCGAGCGUGGCGCUUCUUUUUUUUUCCAAAUUUUUUAGUCCCGGUUAGUGGUUGGUAACACCAACUAGGACUAAAGGGGGCCUUUAGUUCUGGGUGGAUGACCUGGAACUAAAGACCUCCUUUUUUAUCUCGAAAAAUUUAUCUCGGACGGCUUUUAGAGAGAUGUGAGCGUAUCCAAUUGGGACUAAAGGUGAGUUUUCCACCAGUGAAUGCAGAGCAGGCUCAUCCUAAAUGGUGACACCAUGCUGAUCACGCAAUUUAUCAUUAUUUUAUCGACCUCAUCCGUGUUUGUCUUUUACCAUCUAUAUAGUAUGGUUAGUCAACGGCAUGCAGUACACCCAUGCAUAUGAUUGCAGUAGGAUAACAUAGCGCGACCAGAACUGACGCAGUUUGCCAGUUUUAGAUUCGUAUACACGGCCAACUUACGCAGCAGAGAGUUGCAUGCUAAGCAGUUCAGCGUAGGUGGUGAGUUCUCAACUCUGAUAUGGCUUAUGGAAGAACACUGUCACGGUGUCACCUAGCCGGUUGGAGGCCAACCUCUUACUAGGGACAGCAAUGGCCCUGUCCGGCCACUGUUUCGUGGCUGGUAUUAUUACCCCUAUGCAGUGAAUAUGACAUGUGGAUCUAUGUGUAUAUUAUGUCGUCGAAAGAACAUUAUAUGAACCGUUGAGCCACCUUUGAUUCUAUCAAUGUGUCAUGGUCAAUUGAUGUCAAACUCUAUUAUCUUCAAGUCUUAUUGUAUUGAAAAAAUCACGAUGCUCUGCUACUGCCAUUUUGAUGUUUAUAAAAGGGUAUUGAGAACCUGGUGGGUAUCCAUUCGAUGCGCUGGGGUGGGGGUGGGGAAAAAUGAGUGUAAAGGACAGGGAUACAGUAUUUAGAAGGAUGGGGCUGCCACAGAAGAUAGUCUCCAAGUAUGGCAGGGAAGAAUCUAAAACUGAAUCCUUGAUCAAGACUGUCCCAUAUUCAUGAAUAGUUCACUGACAGAUCUUGCUUCCAUAUUCUGAACAGCUGAUGCUGGGCACAUAGGAGGUUAACCGGUCAGCGGAUCGAAGAAAAAAAAAUUCUUGCCUGUCAGUGUCCACAAUGGCCUCAGCUUGGGUUAGAGACAAUCAUCCCUAAAGAAUCAUAUUGCCGGAUAAGGUUAUCUGUGAUUGGUGGGUGCAGAUCCAUACUCAUCCUAGAAACAAGCCAGGGCUGAAUAUGCCACUCAUUUUAGGUGCUUUGAUGUUGUGGUCACACCGAAAUGAUCAUGUGUUUAAUAAAGUUUCCUAUAGUGACUGGCGUGCAGGCUGUCCUCGUAUUCGAGAAAAAAAAUCAAUGGGCGAAAUAUUUUCACCCAGGUAAUUGUUGCAUUGUAUGAAUAGGCUUAGAUACCUGGUUAGAGUAUGAAUGUGCGUGUACCGUGACACAAGAAGAUUUAUCAUAUCCAUGUAUGAAUUAGUGUUAAAUCUGCUACAUAAAUAUCUUCUCUUAUCUCAUUGUAUGUGUAUAUAUGACACAGAAGCACAUGUAUAUUGGCAUUGUAGAGAGAGAUGAGAGAGAGAAGCUUAUCUGCUUUUUGGAGAUAAAUAUUCAAAUUACUGGUGUAUGAGAGGGAUAUAAUUAUUCUAUCAAAUUGUUUAUUCAACAUGUAAAAAGAUUCCAUGUUUAGUCAUCUAUAUCGGCAUUGUAGAGAGAGACUAGUGUUCAGCUGGUUGGAAGGAUGAGAGAGAGAGGAGAGAGUUCGGAUGAGAGAGAGACUAGUGUUCAGCUGGUUGGAAGGAUGAGAGAGAGGAGAGUUUGGAUGAUAGAGAGAUUAGUGUUCACCUGGUUGGAAGGAUGAGAGGGAGAUGAGAGAGUUCGGAUGACGAGGUGGAGAGUUCGGAAGAGAGAGAGGUGAGAGUUCGGAUGAGAGAGAAAGCAGCUUAGAAGGAUGAGAGAGAAAGUGGUAUUCAGCUGGAUGGUGGAGACUUCAUAUAUUACUAACUAGCAAGGUGUCCGUGCGUUGCUAUGGUGAAACGACGUUGCUUAGCGCGCGAUGCUUUUUAUCAUGUCGUGUAGCAUACCACAUUUUUUAUCGUGCUGUGGAACUUUUCUAUUUUAGUAGUAUUAGACUUUUCAUAUAUAAGGGGCCACAUGAGUGUGUCCAUAUCCUAACCGUGAGGAGACCGCUUGCCAUGGAACUUGUUAUCUCUUUCUCUAUCUUGAGAUUGGUAGGCUUCUACAGCAAUUCUGCACAAAAAAGGCCCCACUUCGCCCCACUUCGCCUCGCUCUCGCUGUCCGGUUAGUCCCGCGCCUACCCUCUCCCUCUCCGAUCCUCGCCGCUAGCUCCUCGGGGUCCAAGUCGGGCCCGUGAUGUAGCGGCCUGUUAUCCUUCCACCGUUGGAAGCGGGCAGUGAUCGCUGCUCUGUGAACCCAGCCUCACGCCAUUCCUACCACUUCAGGUCCAGUGAAGCCCGAGCUUUUGCUUGGGCCGAACAGGCCACUACCAACUUGGAGCAGGCAAGGCCAGCAAGGGCACACAAUAGACCCAAGCCCAGAGUCCACACCCAAACAUCCACACCACCUUAAUACCCCCACUUGGGUUACAAGCCCGCGCAACCAAGCUCGAUGAGGAUGGCUCGUGAGGACGAACAUUUGAGCUGGUGCGGCGCUGCUUCAGAUGGCGAGGUGGUACUAAUCUAAGGAAUAGGAAAAUUUCACGUGGGUCCCACACCGCACCUACCCCUAUCCUUAUCCUUUCUCAUCUCUCUACCGUUCAUCCGGUCCUUAUCCUCCUCAUCUCAUCUCUCUCUCUCUCUCUCUCUGUCUCUCUCUCCCUCUCUCGCUCUCAAACUCUCUAUCUCUCCUAUCCCCUCUUUCUCUGGAGAACGCGGUGCACGGCUGGCCCCAGCGGCGGCCUGGGGGCGCGGGUGCUGGCGGCAGCCGAGGGUUGCGGGGCUGCGGCGAGGAGCCUCCUGGCCGUGGAUGCGACGGCCUAGCCACGGGUGCCGGGCCGCAUCGCACCGCGCGCUGCUGCCACCGAGUAGGCUGCACGCACUGCCUGCACACCAGGCGGGGUGGGCGGCCAGGGCCGAGCGGCGCGGCCGGGGCCGGGGAGGUGACUCUGGCGCGGCCGAGGCGGCUUGGGCGCGGCCAGCUGUUGUGGGUAGGGAGAGGUGGACAGCGGCGCAUGGCGGUGUGGAGAGGCGGACGUGGGGCACGAACGGGUGAAAGGGGAGACGGGGAAAGAAAGCUGGACCCACCUAGCAAUGCAGCCGGGGCCGGGGCCAGGGUAGCGCGGGUGGCCGAGGCCGAGGCCGAGGCCAGGCGGCGCAGUCGGGGCUGGGGAGGCGGCUUUGGUGCAGCCAGCCGUGGCGGGCAGGGAGAGGCGGAGAGUGGCGCAACGGCGGCGUGGAGAGGCGGACAUCAGGCACGGGCGGGUGAAAGGGGAGACAGGGAAAGAAAGCUAGACCCACCCGUCAAUGCAUUAAUCUUACCUAUUAUUAAACAUCAGGGCCACCUCUCGUUGAUAGAAGUUGGACCAAACCAAAAAAAGUGGGCAGAAGUGUUCCUUACUUUAAUAAUAAUAAUAAAGUAUAGAUAAUGCAUCCAAACAACAUUUGGAAUUUAAUUCUAAGAAAAACUUUCUCAGUACAUCCAAACUAGAAAAUUCAAUUGAAUAAAAUUCUACGGAAUGCAUUUCUUAUGGAAUCUAAUUGGUAGAAUAUGAUUUAUGGGAUGAGUUUCAACUCUAGGGAUCCAAAUAGGCUCUUAGUUAUUUCUUAUGUAGCUCAAAUCAGAAGGAAGGUACGUCCAAACUAAAAAACGUAAGUUACUUUGUGUUAUCUUGUGAAUCAGUGAUUAAUUACUUCCAAUCUUAUGUAAAAAGAACUACGAGUCAAAUUCUUUGUCAGAUUUAUACUGACAAGUUACAAGCACAUGCCUCUGCAGUAACAGGCCAGCCCUAGACUAGUGGGCAAACCAAAAACAACAUGAUUCGUCAACUGAUCGAAUGCUAAUGACUAUUUUGCUAGGAGAAUGAACAUGAUUCAUACAAAGCAGGGGAGCUACUAACUUGGUCAAGGUCUCCGUCCUCUAGCUACUAACAUGAUUCAUACAAAGAAGGGGCCAUCUUGCUCCACUCCACGUCUGCGUGGUUGCUCGGCGGGCGCGACGGUGUCGGCUGCGGAGUGCGGACGGCGCGUAGAUAUGUCAUUGUUGAUCAGGACAUGCACUUCUAUCACAGUCUGUGGUUGGCGUCCACGGCCGAGCGGGUCAAGGUCUCCGUCCUCUAGCGUGGGGAAACAGGAUCUCUUCAAUCAGUGCUUCUACAGAAACGGUGCACGGUCACCACGGACCAACGACAUACCAUGAGAAAAGCAGAGCUAAAUGUUGCAGUAGCAGAGUAACCGGAGACUGGAGAGCACUUGCUGCUAAAAGCUGCCUCUUAUUUUGUAUCGUCUUAACCGAAGACUUUAAGUCAACCGCCAUUCGAUUCCAAUAUAAACUAGCAAGUUGGUCCGCGAUAAUAGCGCGGCUAGAUUUGAUACAGUAUAAUUUUUUUAAAUGCUAUGUUAGCUUAGUAUAUUUCUUUGUCCCUCUUGAUUUGUUUUUCAUCCUCUUGAAAUCACUGAGUAUACUUAGGUGCCUUACUCUACACAUUGAGUAUCAAGCCAUAUAUGUAUAUUUUUUUUUUGCAAAUGAACUCCGAUGCCACAUGCGCAUAUGCACGCCUAAUUAAAAUUGCUCACUUGUAAAAAAAUAAGAACAACUUGAGUAGUUGAUUCUGAUCUUAUGUUGCAGUUUUUGCCAACUUUUCCUAGUAUUAUUGUGUUGAGUAGAAAGCCUGUGUAGAGAAAGAUCCAAAACAAACAAUCGUGUCAACUACUCCCCAUGCUUGCUCAAAUAAUUUUGAAAAAAAAAACAACCGCGCUCUAAGUCCUAGGGAGGUGAUAUUCCUCCUUACUUUCCUCCUCUCGUUUUCCUUGCACAAUCGAGGAUGACAAAUACCACAAACCACUUAGGCUCUAUCAUGUUUCAUCAUCACAUUCCUCAAAUCUUGAUCACGUUGUUGUCUUCAUUAUGUUAACAGUACACAUCUCUCCGCCUCUUCUAUUCCACAAAACCAUAAUUGUUCACCGGCUCCAGCAUUGUUGUUGCUCUCCACCAAUCGAGGAAGCUCAUGUCCUUGACAUCACCUUAUCCACUGACCAGCUGAAGUUAUCUGUACAUCCUAAGGUCUCAUAAGAUUUUUGCUGAAUUUGCAUUAAUAUUAAUAUUGCCACCAAUCUAGUCUCAACCUUGCCUUGUGUUCUCGGUGGUCAUGUUUUAUUCUAACUUGCAAGCCCUACAGCUACAUAUGAUGGUUCUUCUAUAUACAUAAUACAUCGCAUCACUUAAGACAUAUAUCGCGGGCCGGCGGCUCAUGGGGGAGCGGCGCCGGCGGAGCGAAAGCGACUGACGGUGGGCGGAGGCGGGUGGGUGCGGGCGGAGGCGGAGGCCGGUGCGGGCGCGUGCGGAGGUGGAUGGGUGGAGGCGUGCAGCGGUGGCGAGUAGAGGCGGGCGGGCACGGGCGAGUGGCAGCUGGGCCAGCGGCGGCCGGGCGGCCGGCCGGUGAGCGUGGGGCUUUUUUUUAUUUUUUUUCAAAAUGUUUUAGUCCCGGUUCGUGGUUGGUACCACCGACCGGGAUUAAAGGGGAAGACCCCGUCUUUUGUCUCGAAAAAUUUAUCCCGGAUGGUUUUUAGAGAGAUUUGAGCCUACCCAACCGGGACUAAAGGUGAGUUUUGCACCAGUAAUGCAGAGGAGGCUCAUCCUAAAUGGUGACACCAUGCUGAUCAUGCAAUUUAUCAUUAUUUUAUCGCCCUCAUGCAUGCUGUGCAUGAUUGAUAUUAGUAUUGGGCAGCUUAGAUUCCUCAGCGCAUCAUGCUGCUCAGCCAUGGAGGUCAAGGCAUCAAUAUUGUCCAUAUCACAACGUCUCUGCUUUCUCUUGUUGUCCUCCCCCUUCCCUCUACAUUGCACCUUCUUGUUUUCCUGAUCCUAUUGCCAGUUUGUUGCAGCCAUUUAUGGGCACCUCUUUCGUCCAUUGUCCACUGUUGUUGCCCGCUGCCUCAGUUCUUCUCUAACCAAAGCGGUCGUAUCGCGCUGGUCGGUAGGAAGCCAUCGUCUCACAAAAGCAUCGUCGUGAUCGCCAAACCACAUCUAGCCGAUGCCGAACCAUACUUGCCAUCUUCUUUGCCAACUUGCCGCUAUGGAAGCCUCCAUGCAUCGCUCCUCGAGUCUAUCCUAUCUCUAUCAGCUCCUGUGGUAUCCUGUUUUGUUUUUGCCUCAACCACGAAGCCAUAGGUAGCUGGUGCUAAAUUGCAGGGCCAGCAACAGCUAUUUCCUCUCCCUGGCCUUGCGGCCAUGCUAUGUAUUUUUCUCUCUCAAAAAAAAUUCCAAUGAUUUAAUUCUAAUGUUCCGAUCAUGUGUGAUUGGUUUAUUAAUUAAAGUUAUAGUUAUACACGAGUAUAUUAUAAAAAAAUAAUAUAUAUAUAAGUUACCAUACAAAGUACAACUUCCAAUAAGGUGGAGAGGUUCGGAUGGAAUUUUGAUUCAACUUACUCUAUUCUAGAUAUUAGAGUUGUACUAGCAAAAUAUCCAUACAUUGCUAUAGCAAAAUAUCCGUACAUUUGCUACGGUAAAAGAUCAAUUGUGUUUUUCAAACUAAUAAUAUUUUUUAUUUUCAUCACUAAAGUUUUAUUCCACUUAUUGGAUGUCCACACAUUUAAUAGAAAACUAAAAGAAUUUUAACUAAUUAUUUCCUUCAACUCAAAUACCAAUUAAAUUAAAAUAUUUUUUUAUUCAAGCAAGAGAGUUAAAUCAGCCUCCGAUGGCCAUCGAUGAGGGGCUCUUUAGUCCUGGUGAGUAAUAUCAACCGGGACUAAAGAACCCCUUUAGCCCCGGUUGUAAAAGUUAGUGGCCUCGGGAUUCUGUUGGGGCGUUUUGUCCCGGUUGCAACUACCAACCGGGACUACGCUCCCCGCCUCCACACACACAAUGUGCGUGCCUCACUUUCUCUCCUCCCUCUCCUUAAUUCCAGUACCCAAGCCUCCUCUCCUUAAUUCCAAUACCCACAUGCCUCCUCUCCUCCUCCCUUCGGCCCCUGCCUCCUCUCCUCCCUCUCCUUCUCCUCCGCUAGAUCCGGCCAACCCCCAUUCCCUCUUCCAAGCUCCUCCCUCUCCCUCGACCGAGGCGGGCGGCGGGCGCAGGUCGGGUGGCGCGGCUGGGGCCGAGGCGGCGUGGGCGGCCGGGGGUCAGGGAGGAUGAUAGGUGGUUACGAGGAUGAUACCUGCAGACAAUACUUUUAGUCCCUCAAUUUUUUCUGAGAAUUGCACUGUGAGCUGCGCUUUCAUUUAUGUCACACCGCUCAGCAAAAAAAACGGUGCAAAUCGACCAAAAUAAAUGAAUAAAUCACACGGUUUAGACUGGUGGCAUCUGUAUGUUUGAUGAGUUUUGAAUCCCAACAGACCUCUGUUUGCUUAUCCAACAGGAGGAAAAAACUUUACUUACUAAAUCAGCUUUGCAUGCCAGGCUGCAAUUGUUAGAGCAGAAUUGGGUAAUUUGUGAACAUAAUUGAAUCAAAGUUUUGUCUCAGACUAGUAAUAGAAAAUGGUAAUGCUCCACAGCUAGAACACGUUCCUACACUAGUUUAAAAAAUUCCCUGAAAUUGGCGACAAUGGUCAAGCUCAAUGUCAAAGUCAAAAAUUCCUACACACGUUCCUACCAUACUUGGAACUUGGAAGGCCGCUGGUCGAUGUCAAAGUCAAAAACAGAAGCAGACAGCGACGUCUCACCAGAUCACGAAUCAGAUGCGAUGCAUGUGCAUGUUCAGCAAGACAUUGAAAAGCAAGCUCUGUCUGGCAGCAGCUCUUCAAUACGCUCCAGCCCAUCUCUACCAUGGCAUUGGCAAUGCGCGUCAUGAGCUUGCUUCCUGCCACCAUCGCCGUGAUGAUCGCAGCGGCCUCCUGGGGAGCGCACGGCGGUGCCAGCGACGAGGCCAGCGCGCUACUUGCUUUCAAGGCUGAGCUCGCCGGCAGCGGCUCCGGCAUGCUUGCAUCCUGGAAUGGCACCGCUGGCGUCUGCGGCUGGGAGGGCGUGGCGUGCACCGGCGGCCAGGUGGUGGCACUGAGCCUGCCCUCCUAUGGGCUCGCCGGAGCCCUCUCCCCGGCCAUUGGGAACCUCACUUUCCUGCGGACCCUGAACCUGAGUUCCAACUGGUUCCAGGGGGAGGUCCCAGCAAGCAUCGGCCGCCUAGCGCGUCUGCAGACGCUUGAUCUGAGAUACAAUGCGUUCUCUGGUACGCUUCCUUCCAACCUCAGUUCCUGUGUCAGCUUACUGCUGUUAGAUCUCAGCAGUAACCGGUUCCAUGGGCGUAUCCCUGUUGAGCUUGGAGACAAGCUAACAAGUCUUCAGAAGUUCUCACUGGGCAACAACAGCUUGACGGGUGCCAUACCAGGAUCACUAGGUAACCUGUCAUCCCUGAUCUACCUUGAUCUGACAGAAAACCACCUCGAGGGUCCGAUCCCACAUGAACUUGGCAGCAUGGGCGGCCUGCAGGUCCUUUUCCUCUAUGAGAACAGACUCUCCGGUGUGCUUCCACACUCCCUGUACAAUCUGUCCUCACUGAAAAACUUGGUGGUAGGAAACAACAUGCUGUCUGGAACCAUCCCUGCUGAUAUCGGCGAUAGGUUCGCCGGUAUGGAAGUUCUUGACUUUAGUAGCAACCGAUUCAGUGGAGCUAUCCCACCUUCGCUCGGCAACCUCUCUGCUCUCACGUUACUAAACCUUCCAGGAAAUGAUUUUAUUGGAUAUGUGCCUUCUGCUUUGGGGAAGUUGCAAAGUCUUACUGACCUGUUCUUGAGUGACAACAGGCUAGAAGCAAACGACAGUCAAGGGUGGGAAUUCAUCACUUCACUGGCAAACUGCUCCCAGCUUCAGUAUCUUGUUCUCGGCAACAACUCUUUCAGCGGGCAACUGCCUAAUUCAGUCGCAAACCUGUCAUCAACUCUGCAACAUCUUUAUUUGGGAGACAAUAUGAUUUCUGGGAAUAUUCCAAUAAACAUCGGAAAUUUGGUUGGUCUUACAGUACUUGAUAUGGCAAAUACUUUAGUAUCUGGACAGAUUCCAGAGAGCAUUGGUCAGCUAAGAAACUUGGUUGGGUUAGGCCUUUACAACACUAGCUUGUCAGGCCUCAUACCUUCAUCACUAGGAAAUCUUACACAGUUGAAUAAUCUUUAUUUAUACUAUGGAAACUUAGAGGGGCCAAUUCCAUCAAACUUGGGGAACUUAAAGAAUGUGUUUGCCUUUGAUCUCUCAACAAAUCGACUCAAUGGUUCAAUUCCUAUAGAGGUUUUAAAACUUCCUCGACUUUCCUGGUACUUAGACUUAUCAUAUAAUUCACUAUCCGGGCCACUUCCAACUGAGGUUGGUACCAUGGUGAAUCUUAACGAACUGAUUCUGUCUGGAAACAAGUUCUCAGGCACCAUACCAGCUAGUGUUGGGAACUGUAUAUCGUUGGUAAAGCUGCUGCUCGAUAACAACUUAUUAGAAGGAAGCAUACCUCAAUCUCUGAAGAACUUAAAAGGUCUUGCAUUACUGAACCUAACAAUGAAUAAGCUAUCUGGUAGUAUUCCUGAUGCCCUUGCUAGCAUUGGCGACCUGCAACAACUGUAUCUUGCACACAACAACUUGUCAGGUUCCAUCCCCAAAGUUCUACAGAAUUUGACAUUGUUGGCAAAACUGGAUUUGUCCUUCAAUGAUUUGCAAGGCGAAGUGCCAAAAAGGGGUCCUUUUGCAAAUGCAACUCACUUGUCAAUUGAUGGAAAUGAUGAGCUUUGUGGUGGAAACCCUCAACUUCACUUAGCUCCGUGCUUCACAGCUGCUGCGGGGAAGAACAGAAGGCGAAUGUCAAGGUCAGUUAUGGUCACCGUAGCGUCAAUCUGCGCACUUCUAUUCUUAGGUUUAGUAGUUUUUCUUAUCCAUUUGAUCCACAAGACGCUCAGACAAGGAAAGGAAAAUCAACUCAUUCCCACAGUAAUUGAUGAACAGCACGAAAGGGUUUCAUAUCAAGCAUUAGCAAAUGGGACUGACCAUUUUUCGGAGGUUAAUCUGCUCGGACAAGGAAGCUAUGGUGCAGUUUAUAAGUGCACUUUACAUGACAAGGGAAUUACCGCAGCUGUAAAGGUAUUCAACGUACGGCAAUCUGGGUCUACUAGAAGUUUUGUGGCUGAAUGUGAGGCACUGCGAAGGGUGCGCCACCGAUGUCUCAUAAAGAUCAUCACCUGUUGCUUAAGCAUUGAUCACCAAGGCCAAGAAUUCAAGGCACUGGUUUUUGAGUUCAUGCCCAAUGGUAACCUAAAUGAUUGGCUGCAUCCAGCAUCCAAAAUACAGAGUCUGAGCAAUACACUCAGCUUAGCUCAGAGACUAGACAUUGCGGUAGAUAUCAUGGAUGCUCUGGAUUAUCUUCACAAUCAGUGUCAACCGCCUAUUAUCCAUUGUGAUCUCAAACCAAGUAACAUCCUCCUUGCCGAAGAUAUGAGUGCUCGGGUUGGAGAUUUCGGCAUAUCAAAAAUCCUUCCUGACGACACUAGCAAAACUCUGCUGAAUUCAGUUAGCUUCACUGGACUAAGAGGUUCCAUCGGAUAUGUCGCUCCAGGUAACAGAAACUAACACUGAUAUUGCUAUGUUCAGUUUUUAACUUCCAUUUUGCCAAGUCCAGUUAUCUCGGCAUGCACGUUGAUAAGUAGCUUGCCAUGAAUCCACUGACCAAAUAGUGUCUGAAAUCUGAAUUGACUGCAGAGUACGGCGAGGGUCGCGCUGUCUCAACUCUUGGAGAUGUUUACAGCCUCGGCAUACUGUUGCUUGAGAUGUUCACCGGGAUGAGCCCUACUGACGACAUGUUCAAAGGCUCCUUGGACCUUCAUAAGUUCGCCGAGGCCGCUCUCCCCGACAGAGCCUUGGAGGUAGCCGACCCGGCAAUCUGGUUUCAUGAAGAAGCAAAGGGCGAAGACCCUGCCACGGUGAGAAGCAGAAGCGAGAGGUGCUUGGCUUCAGUGGUCGGGCUUGGCGUGUCCUGCUCAAAGCAGCUGCCAAGGGAGCGGACGGCGAUGCGGGAUGCUGCCGCUGAGAUGCGUGCGAUCAGAGAUGCCUUCCUGGUUCAAUGUGCAACAGAGACUUGGCCUGCAGUCGGCACCACCGGCCUUGGGAGCGCAGACAGUUGAAUGGUGGACGGAGCUACGGUCUCUUGAUGAACCAAGGAGCACCGGACUAGCAACUCUGCAACUAACAGAGUGGAGAAAGCGCCCCUUAAUGAAAAGAAAAACAGCCGGUGCAAGGCUUUAUAAAAAGAAUGUGACAGCCACUGCGUGUAUCCGAGAGACUUAUCUAAUCUACCGAGGAUUGUUGGGUAGGGAUGCGUAUAGAUUAUGCACGUGCUCCCUCCGUCCCAAAAUAAAUGCACAUCUCGCUUUUCGAGGAGUCAAACUUCUAAGUUUGACUAAAAUUUAUAAAAAAAUGUACUACUAUUUAUAAUGUAUAAUAAAUAUCAUUAGAUUGGGCGUUGGAUAUACUUUCCUAAUAUAUUUAUUUGAAGAUGCAAAUGAUGAUACUAUUUUCUUUAUUCUUAGUCAAACUUAAAAAUGUUUGACUCUUCGAGAAGUGAGAUGUGUGUUUAUUUUGGGAUGGAGGGAGUACCCGUCACGGGGAUUAGUCACGAUAUAAGUAGGGACUAGCAAGCACCAAAAUCCCAUUCACUGCCCUUCGAUCGCUCAAAUAAAACAAACCAUUGCAUAUGGUGGCGAUGCGCUUGCGGGCCUUUUUCCAACCUUUCUGCUGUCGUGGGUCUUGAACUCGCAUGGAACAGUUUUAGUGAAAGCGUGCCCUUCAAUUUUGGGAAGAUUGCGAAGCCUCAUUUACCUGUCCUUAGUGACAAUAAGUUAGGAUCCAAUGAUAAGGACGGAUUGGAAUUCAUCACCAUGCUGGCAAACUGCAGCCAGCUUCAGCAACUGGCUUUUGACAAUAAUUCAUUCAUCGGGGAACUUCCUAGCUCAAUUGCAAAUCUAUCGACAACACACCAAUUACUCUGUAUAGGAAACAAUUGGAUUUCGGGAUUUAUUCCAUCCAGCAUAGGUAAUUUGCUUGGUCUAGAACUGCUUGCGUUGGCAAAUACUUUCAUAUCCGGAGUGAUUCCAGAUAGCAUUGGUCGCCUAGAAGACAUGUCCGUGUUAGGCAUUUACUACGCUAGCUUGUCAGGCAUCAUACCUUCGUCACAAGGAAACCUUACACAGUUGAAAACUCUCUAUGCGUACGAUAGCAACUUCGAGGGUCCAAUUCCAGCAAGUGGGGGAACUUAAAGAAUGUUGUUGUUCUUGAUCUCUCAACGAAAGUGUGUAACCCGCUAAGAUUUCGUGUCGAAGCAAAGCAUAAACCUCUCUUAAGACUGCAAAGCUAUCAUAGAGCAGAUCAGUCUAAGACAAUGUAGAACUUAGUCAAAUUUUAUUUAUAAACAUUCAAGUACAAUUUAUGCAAAGUAAAUUUGAAAAUAAAGUAUACGUAAACAUCUAAGCGCAUAGCUUUAUGAUUUGAGUUGAACUAACCAAAUAUAAUUGAAAAACACAUUUAUAUUUAUAUUAAGUCAAAUUAACAUAUAAUUAUGAAAGCUCGAGAUAUAACUUAUGGAGCCUUUAUUUAGAAAACAAAUUGAAUAAACAUUAAUCAAUUUAAGUUUAAUUAUGAACCACCAUGUUGCAUCUCUCAUUGACUUUUAAUUGAAAGAGUUAUUUAAAUAAGCAUUAACUAAUUUAGCAUUUAUUAUGAAAAGCAGUUAUAACACUAAGUAGCUUUUAAUUAAAGAAGACAUGUUUAACAUGCAUUAAUCAGAUUAAUAUUAAAUUUAUUUUAAAAACAUGCAUGAUGGAAAGAUCAGUACUAACAUGUAAUUUGUGUUAUUACAAACCUAACUCAAUAAGAACAGAUAUAAACGGAGCUGUAACGACCAGUCUAUGGGUUAAACAAGGUUGCAGGGCCUAAUCAUGAUUAACGGAAGGUUAUUGGGGCUAGCAAGGAAGAUUUGCAAGACACUGGAAUAGAGCUCCCCAUUAGGUCAAAGCAUAGGGCGAUUGCGAAAUCAAGAACUCGAAGGUGAUCGCGAGAACACGAAGGACACGAAGGUUUUAGAUAGGUUCGGGCCUCCGGAGAGUAAUACCCUACGUCCUGUAUGCUAGUUUGUAUUGCUUGAGAUUGAUCUGAUUGUUGGGAUACCCUCGGGGGUGCCCUUGGCCGCCUUAUAUAGGCUGACGACCAAGAGUUAAAAGUCAGUUUGAAUCUAAUCUACUCGGUAGUUACAUGGAAAGUAAUCUGAGUUGGACUACAGUACACGUUCCAUGAUAUCCAGGCAGAUUUGAACUGUCUUGUUGCCUUGACUUGCACUCCAAGUAACUUCAUGUCCUCGGCCCGCACGCCCUAGUCGGGCGGGCCCUACUUGUCAGUCCGGCCAGUAUCCUGGUCGGUCGGGGCCCAUGGGGUACCCAUAUCCCUCAAGCCCCCGAGCAUUGUGUAGGUGAAGAGUAACUUGAGGUCACCACAGUGAAACUUGAAAUGAAGUCGGCUGAAGCUACGAAGACAUCAUGGCGACGGAGAGGCUGCACAGUGCUCAAAAGAAGAAAUUCUGAGCAAACGCAGAGCCAACGCGUAGAGCGAAGACGAGUGCCGAGUUGAUGGAUGCUGGCAUUCAGCAGUCGGAGCAAAGGUUAUGGAGGGCCUCGCAAAACGCACUCUGUAGGAGUAGCCCCCGAGCAUUAAAGUGAUUAAGAUAAUCGGUACAAUAGUCAAAGAAGAAAAAGUUAUCCCCUAAAGUAGAUCCUAGUGCUCGAACAUAAGGAUGGGUGAAGCCAUGGAGGCCCGCCAACCAGAAGUAGGCACCCAGACCCAAGAAUGAGGACUAGCGGGACCGUGUAGCCACGUUGACCUGAAAUAGGCGCCCAACCCCUGAGGACGAGGACUAGCGGAGCCACGGAGGCAUGCCGACCUGAAGUAGGCACGCAACCCCUGAGGACGAGAACUGGAGGAGCCAUGAAGACACGCCGACUUGAAAUAGACGCCAAGCCCCUGAGGAUGAGGACCAGUGGCGCCACGGAGGCACGCCAGCCAGAAUUAGGCAUCCAACCCCCGAGGAUGAGCAUGAGGACUGGUGGAAGCACGUCGAGGUGCCUCCCGCCUCGAGCCGAGGCAGAGAGGUCAGUCGGGCGACGGGAGGCACAUGAGUCAUCUAUGGCGCGCAACCGCCGAGCCUGGGAGCCGGACGAGUUGCAGAAGCAUGCCAAGUCGCCUCCCGCGGCGAGCUAGAGAGGUUUGCUGGGCGACGGGAGGCACGCCAAGUCAUCUGCAGUGCCCAGCCCUCAAGCCUUAGGGCCGGCUGAGCCAUAGAAGCAUGCCAAGCCGCCUCCCGCCCCGAGCCAGAGAGGUCGGCCGGGUGACGAGAGGCACGUCGAGUCAUCUGCGGCGCCCAGCCCCCGAGCCUAGGAGCCAGACAAGUCAUAGAAGCAUGCCAAGUUGCCUCCCAUCCCGAGCUAGAGAGGUCGGCCGCGUGACGGGAGGCACGCCGAGUAGUUUUUGAGCUAUAAAAGGACAAUACAAUCAUCAUGUAGCAUAGUGUAGAUCGUUUAAUCAUUGAACAACUCGGAAGUUUAAUUCACUAUAUAAGUAAACUCUUGCGCAUCCUGCUCUUGUAGGCUAAGUAAUUUCCCCAGGUAGUUAGCCUGUUACGUUUAAGCACCUAGCCCUACUGACCACUGCUCACAGAGAUGACGGUUUAUCUCAAGCUAUAGCGCUGGGGCUGACCUGAUGCUUGCAUAUAGGAGACGCGCAGGAUGAGUUAAGGUUUUACGGAUUAAGGCAUGUGCUACCCGAGUACUUUAGCAACUGUUAACAGGGACAGACAAGUUGCAAAGCAGCCGGAACUGUGCGGAAAAGCACCAGCAUGAGCUAGGCACCCAUGGGGUGUAACCCCUGGCCGCCCGUGUAGUGGACGGACCAAGUUGUAUAAACAGUUAGGGUGCGACCAAGGUGGUGGGCAAAAGUCACGGAGACAUAGGAGAGCUGAGGCGGUCGACGAAAGUCACAGGAACAUGGAGGAGCCGAGGCUUAUGUAGGUAUACGGAAGCCAUAAAAUAUUUAAUUGUAAAUAAGACUUAGCUUGAUUCGUGAUCGAGUCGAAGAACCCGCAUGUCGUCUUUGCGUUUAGGCUUAGAAGCCCCUGAGCGUGGUCAGCGGAUAGUUGUUGGUGAAGCAAACUAGUAGGGCUCCAUGCCCGACUAAUUCGUGUCAAGUCCGAGUUGUUGGAGUUGUUAGUGGCAAGUCUGUGGCUGCGAUCGUGGUAUGCUGCUGCCAAGUCGAUGCGGCCAUCGGGUCGUGGCUGGCUGGCCGCCACGCUCGCAAUACAGCAUGCCUGGGUUGUGCUGCCAAACCAAAGGUGCAUGUACAUCUUUCCGAACCUCGUAAGGAAGCCCUCAGGUAUUAAGGAAAUCUAUACCUAAUAUUAAAGUGCGGUUGUUUGUUCCAACCAUUAUGGUUGUUUUGCAAAAAAGUCCCUCAACUUUUUCGUAAUCAGCUCGCAGUCCUUGGAAUAUGUCUUGAUGAUUUUGCAAAAAGGUCCCCAAACUUUACUGCAAUUGGCCGUCGAAGCUCCCGCAGCAUGCACCUACGCCACGUGCGGUGCGGACGAGUGUGCUGGCGGUGGCUGCAAGCUCCUCACCACAGCGGGGACCAGGUCGAGCAGCGACAGCGAUGACGGAGGGGAGUAGUCCGCAUCCGCGUGCCGUGCUUCCAUCGUCGGGCAAGCUGUGGCGGCGGUGGAGAGGGAAAGUGAGUACAUCGGCGUGUGGCAGCAGUCGUGGGGCAGUUUGGCGGCGGAGAUCCAUGACCCGCACCUCGCUGUGCGCAAGUGGCUCAGCACCUUGGACACCAUUGAGGACGCCACACACGUCUAUGAUGUCGCCGCCAUCGAGUUCCGAGGCCACCACGCCAAGCUCAACUUCCCCGACGACAUGGUCCCCGUGCCCGCACCUUCUAGGGUGCCCACCUCUACAUACCACUACCACCACCACCUGCCGCAGCCGCUGCCCAAGAGUCUGCACAAGACCUGCGGGUCGAACGCAUCGUCGUCGGUGCACAUGGCUCCUGGAUGACGGCAGCUUCUUGUCACCCAUGCCAUGAUCGUCACAUUCUCCUCUUGUUUUCACUUUCGUUGCUUAGCGGAUAAUGGUGGUCAGCUGCCCUUUGGUCUGUCGUCAAUCACCAGCCAUCCAUCGCUUUCAUAUGGUUUUACACUAGCUUUUGGGCUUUGACCACACCUCCACACCCAUAAAGUGGAGUGAUGUUGAUCUACUGCCGCUCGCCCUGGCGUGCAACUACUGUCGCUCACCCUAGCACAUGGCUACUCACUCGGGCUGCGUGCCCUACCCGCCACCUGGACCUAAGAGGUGAAGGAGAGAGGAGGAAGGGGGAAGGAAAUAAGGAGCCGAGUGCCUCUUUGCAGUCAACCAAGUAGAUCCAUGUGCCAGCGAAGGCAUGGCGCCAGCAAGGGGGGGGGGGCGCAGCAGCAGUCGGCAGGCAACGCAAAUUGGGGCAGAGGUUGGGACCUCACACCCCCCCUCUCAAUGACGUCCAUCCCCUUAAGAUCCGGAACUAAAGCCUCCACAUCUAGCAAUUGGGGGCUCAAUUUUGCACUUGAUUGAAAUGAUUUGGAGUGGAUUAUGGAAGGGAAGUGGAUGGAAAUGAGAAGAGGAGGAGAACGCACUCCUGCUCAUGGCGGCCAGAGGCGUUGUGGCCUAGCGCUCGAAGCAGGAAUGAGGCUAGGCACAGGAAGGACGAGCGCUUGCCUGGGCGAUGGUGAGGAUGGCAAGAUGCGCAGCGCCUGGAUGACGGCGAAGAUGGGGCUAGAUGCGGGUGGCGCUGAUGGAUGAAGAGGCAUCGACUGGCUAGAUGACGAUGAGUACGGGGGAAAUCGAAUGAAUGGAUGGAGCGGAGGUUGAGCGGUGAUUUUUUUUAUUUCCAUAUGUGGGUCCCACAUAAUAAACAUAUGGCAUCAAAUCACCCAUAAAUAUCUUCUACUACUAUACUGAGACAACGCACCAACAUAUGGUGAACCGAAGCCACCGUAUUACGAACAAGCGAAUAAUAACGUGAGAAUAAGUAAGGACCUGUAGCAACGCACGGACAUUUCUGCUAGUGAGAAAAAAAAUUGUUAUCUACCGCAGUAAGCACCGAGCAACAUAGGAGAUCUACUGGAUGGAAUAGAUUAAAUAAUAAAGGGAAGGGAGAAUUGUUUCCUUUUUUUUCCGUGGCAGAUCCGACAUGUCUGCAUGCAACAAGUUGAGGCCGACGUGUCGUGCUAAAUCAAUUGGAUCGGACUGGGGCUGGAUCAGGCGAGCUUGGCUGUGGCCGGGAUGAGGCCAAUAAGGGCGCCGCCCUUGACCUUGGCCUCCUGCGUCUCGUGGAUCUUCUGCAUCUAGAGCAUCCGCUCCAUGACAAGCUUGUACUGGCACUUCUCUUAGGCGUGGUGCUCAGGCUGGCACUUCCAGGGGAGGUAGAACUCGGAGGUGCACGCACUGGUUGUGGUAGGCGAGCGGCACCUGGGCCACCGCCAUCUCCACCUGCGUGAUGAUCUAGGGCUUCAAGGAGCCGAACUGCACACCGACCGUUGCUGCCGCCUCCAUCUGUCACUUUCUUCCCGUCUCUCUCACCGGCGAGGUCGUUCCAUCGAUAGAUGGGCAUUGCGGGUUUGGUGCGGUGUGGGUAGGUGGGGUGCAGCGAGGACAUGAGGAACCCUCUCGGAGAGAGAGAUUGCCAAUCUACUGGGCAAGUGGCAUGAUGAUCCUUGGAUAGAGAACUUGCUCCUCCGGAGUAAAUCCGACAGAUGCCGAGCUGGCGGCAGGCAUCGAGUCGAAGUCCACCGACAUGCUCCCGAAGCAGAGCUGGAUUGGGUUGGCGAGGAAGUCCUUCAUGCUCUCGGAAAAAACAAUGUCGGGACGGGAUGCCAUCGAGCUCGCUAGGGAGGAUCUCACAAUCAUCCCUACCUGGCAUGCCAACUGUUGGAUUUAUAAGCCUGAUAGUCCACCAGGGGGUUACCCAAGUAGUUGAUUUCUAGGUGAGGGCGAUUGUGAAACCAAGAACUCGAAGGUGAUUGCGAGAACACGAAGGGACACGAAGAUUUUAGAUAGGUUCGGGCCUCCGAAGAGUAAUACCCUACGUCCUGUAUGCUGGUUUGUAUUGCUUGAGAUUGAUAUGAUUGUUGGGAUACUCUUGGGGGUGCCCUUGGCCGCUUUAUAUAGGCUGAUGACCAAGAGUUACAAGUCGGUUUGAAUCUAAUCUACUCGGUAAUUAGAUGGAAAGUAAUCUGAGUCGGACUACAAUACGCGUUCCAUGAUAUCCAGGUAGAUUUGAACUGUCUUGUUGCUUUGACGUGCACUCCAAGUAACUUCAUGUCCUUAGCCCGCACGCCUUAGUCGGGUGGGCCCUAGUUGUUAGGUCUGACCAGUAUCCUGAGGUACCCAUAUCUCUCACCUUGGUGCUCCGGCGAUUAGGGUCAACGGCGAGGAUGGGGAUUGGAAGAGGAGAUCAAGGGGACUUUAUGGAGAUGCUCACCGGUGGUGAGGUGGACGGAUUCCAGCCAGAAUUUGGCUGGCGGUGGAAGAACACGACAGGUUGCUCAGGUCUUCGCGAGUGAUGGUACUCCAGCAGUGGAGCGGCGACGAAGACUAGUGGCAGAGCAGCUCCUCGACAUCAUGGAGCUCCCUAAGGCUCUAGCUUGCUCCAAUGGUCGACGGGCAUAGCGAAUUGGCCAGAGAAGGCUGGUAGCGGCUCCUAGCUUCGGUGGAUGUGGGGGAUGGCGGCGCUUGUGGAGGAUGGCGGUGCUUGUGCAAGCUGGGAAGAGUGGCGGCGCGAGGCAGGGUAGCAGCAGGGGCACUGUCUCGACUUUUAUAGGCGCGUGGGUCCGCGCCUACCUUGGCACGCAUGCUGAGGUUCGGCGGUGGCGACGACCAACUGCAGCUACGCUUGGCCUCAACCCGUUGGUGGCCGAUGGGCCUAGCGGACCUAGCCGAGCCAUCAGCUGGGCUGGGUCGGUGAGGGUCGAGCCGCAAAGACUUGGCCCGAUUGAUUAGGAUUUUCCUUUUUUUUAGAAAUGAUUUCUUGUAAAAGAAAAAUCCAGAAAAAUUCUAUAUAAUUAAUUUAAGCAACGAAAAAACCCUAAAAAUCCAAAAAUUCCAGGAAAAAUCCUAGAGAUAGUUUGGGAAUGAGGAGUACAAAUAAAAUACUUGGAGCUCAUGAAAAGGAUUCUAGAACCUUCCAAAAAUUGGAUUUAGCUCUAGAAAAAAGAGAAUAAAUCUUAGAAAAAUCUUGAAAUUCUCAUAAGAACCUAAUGGGCAUCUAAACGCAUUCCAAAACCUUUGCACUUAUGAAAUACCAAGAUGCAUCGGCAUGAAUGCAACACAUACAUAGAACUAUUAUAUUUAAUUCAGAAAAACACUCAAUUAUUUUCCUAUACUAAAUUUCCUGUCAGGAAAAUAAAUGUUGGAAAAAUUUUAAAAUUAUGAGAAAAUCAUUGUUUAAUUAUUAUUUUUAAUCACAUCCUGAAAUUUCAAAAAUUUUAAGGUGUGACAGAUACCCUCAGGUUUACAGAAUUUGACAUCCAUGUGCAAAUUGGAUCUAUCCUUCAAUGAUUCUUUGGAUUUGCACAGUUUUCAGAUAUUUACUGGAAGGAGCCCAACGGAUGAGAUAUUCAAUGAUUCUUUGGAUUUGCACAGUUUUCAGAGAAUGCUCUUCCAGAGAGAAUAUGGGAUAUAGUUGAUCCGACAAUAUGGAUGCACACAGAUGCCUAUAACAGCACUAUGAGAAGUGGAAUUAAGAAUUGCUUGCUUUCUGUUGUUUCUCUUGGAAUAUCAUGCUCAAAGAAACAACCUAGGGAGCAGAUCCCGAUUCAGGAUGCAGCCAUUGAGAUGCACGCUAUUAGAGAUUCGUAUCUCAAGUUUGCCAGAUCUCUUUUGGUGGAGCAUGGAGUAGUAGCAACAACUCACAGUGAUUUCCCACAACAGUGAAUACAUAGGACUGAAAAUGGGCAAGAUGUCCGCAGGUGAUCAGUUUACCUGAAAUAACUGAAGAUGUAUGAAGCUUCAGCUUUAUAAUUCGUCCAUGCAUUUGUUUGCAUCAGAUAUAUGGAAGUAUAAAAUAAGUUUAGAAAAUGUUUCAAAAUAGAUUAGAUCAAGAGGUUUUUACUUGUCGUCUGUAUGGCACAUUUGUUUAGAGAAUUCAGUAAUAUGUAUGAUUCAUAAUACAAUCAAUGCUCUGCAAAUUUCAGAUAGCACAAUUGGAAUAAAAAGCUCAUUCAUUGAUUAUGUUGCUCUAGGUGACUCAACUUAUUGUGAUGUUCACUGUAGAUUUCUCCAUGGUCCAAACGACCUUUGUGAUCAGUUAUGUUUAUGCAUUUUGUAGACUUGUAAAGUCUUUCCCUAACCUGCUGACAUAUCAGCUGGAGCAGAGCACUCUGCCGUUCUGCGCCACUUGCCUCUAGGCAGCGCUUGCCGCUUGGUGGCUGCCGUGGCGACGGGCGGCAUCCGUAAUUGCUCUAUUGGAGGCUGAGGGGCACAAUUACGUCUUGGAGUCGCCACCGCGCGACCUUCGGAGCUCGCCCAUGCCUCAUCGGUACGAGCUCAGUCCCGCGGUGAAUGGCGCGCGCAUCUGGGGUUCCGUCAGCUGCAGGUGCAGAUGGGUGGAGAGCUUAACAGCACUAGGUCUUCAGAAGAUGUUGGGUGGGCUGGAUGGGGCUUUGCGGCUCUGAAUGGCGAGGCGGGCAGGGACGACGGCGGCAGCGGCAGGCGGCGGCACUGGACGCGUUGGGGUGGAGACGACCCGGACCAGGGAGCAUUUUUGAAAAUAGUCGGAUCGCGAUCCUAAUUAGGAAAUGUGAGAAGGGGUGCACCAAAUAUGGGAUGAGAUGGAGAGGAGCGGAUCAGGCCCAGAUCAGCGAUCAUUUACUAUUAGGGCCCGUUUGUUUGGCAGGAAUUGGGCUGAAUUGGAAUUACUUUCCUAGGCCGACCUGUUUGGCUGCACAUGGAAUUGGAAAUCGUCUUUCCGGUGAUUUUCACGGGCUGAUUUUCUUACUUGCGACACAUUCCGGGCCUAAGACAAAGAAAUCAAUUCCAUCCGACUUGCUUCCCCUCCCGACUCGCCUCCCUUCCCCGACACCGCGCCACCUCCCUCUCCCAACUCCCCUCCAUCCCGACGCCGCACCCCCUCCUCCACCGCCUCCUCCGGCGCCCCCUCCUCACCUCCCCCUGACUCGCCUCACCCCGUGCUGCCGCCGCCCUCGACUCUGACUCCCCGAGCGCUGCGCCGCCGCCUCUCGCGCCGCCGCCCCUCGCGACCACCUUCUCGACGGCGAGAUAAACCUCCUCCAGUUUCCCUCCUCCAUCUCGUUCUCCGGCUCACCCCUUCCUUUUUCUUCCUCACCGGCUCACCCCUUCCCCUUGAACAAUCCGCAGAUCUGCGGGGGAGGUGCCACCGGCAAGCAGGCUGGGAGCAGCUGCAACGGCGGCCGCCCCAUCCACGUCUCUACGGACGGCAUCUUCAACAUUCCGACCACGCGCGUGCUCUCCACUAGCAAAGAAGCUGUACGUCCCAAUCCCUUCUGCCCAUCCCCUUUGCUACUCGAGCCAGCAAAGAAACUACUAGUUAGUUGCAUCAGAUUCUCACUGUCAAAUUGGAAGGCCAUUGCUCUUGCUCCUACUAGUAUACCGCACUUUCCACAAAAUGCGACACACGAAUUUGUUAAUUUUGCCGUAAUUCUGCUAUCAAAUCAAAAGGCCAAUCCUCUUGCUCUAAACAGUUUCUGCAAUUUCGUGCACUAUCGAUUGCUAGUGCUAAUUACAUGGAGGGCCUUUGGUACUUCUCUGCUAAUGCUAAUUAUAUGUGACAUGCUCUGAGAUUCUUCAUACUGUGUGCUGCCAUUAGUUUAAAUUUGGUAGAAGCUGAAAUCUCUUCGUAGAUCAUUAUGUGCUGCCAUUCUGAUAUCCUGUGGAGUUGCAUAUCAACUACUAGUGCUAGCAUUUAGUUUUAUCUGUCACAGCAGUUAAGCAUCAGUCAGCCCUUAUCUAGCAUUUAGUUGGUGCAGCUGUGCAAGUGAUGUUCCUAUUGUUUUUAAUUUUUGUCUUCUGCAGCAUUUUGCAGGCUGUCUAUGUUUCUGCUUAGUUUCGUGAAAUAGUGUAGCAUUUUGAUGAUAAAUUAAAACAUUCCUUUUUGCAUAUGUUUAGAUGCCUGACAGCAACAUAGACUUGGUUAAUACAGGCAUAGAGCAAAUGAGAGAGAGCGUAGGAAGAAGAGAAAAAGAGUGGCUAUUUUAUUUAUUUCUGCUGUCAUGAGCAUGAUUGUGCACUAAUGCGUAAGAGACCUAGGCGUAUCGUUGAUCCGGAUGAAGUGGCUGAGAGAAAUGUUGCUAGUCGGAAACAAAUGCCAAGGAAUCUGUACUAAGGAUCAAAUAUUUUUUGCUAUGACAGUUUGCGCCUAAUUAAGAGAUCAUUUUCUGACCUAUGUGCCAUCUUACGUGAUAGGUGCGGUAUGUGUGAUACUGUCGGUAGAAGAAAAUGUGGCUAUCUUUUUGCUUAUAGUGGGCCAUGGCACUAAGAUGAGGAUGAUUCGUAGCUCAUAUAGGUGGUCGCUCGAGCCAAUCUACCAUCAUUUCAAUGAGGUGUUGAGAGGUGUUCUAUCAUUAUGCCAUGAAUUUAUCAAGCUUCUUGAUCCAUCAGCUGUAGAACCUGAGGAUUCCAAGUGGAAGUGGUUUGAAGAUUGCCUUGGAGCAUUAGAUGGUACACAUAUUGACAUUUUGGUGCCUUUGGCUGACCAAGGGAGGUAUAGGAAUAGGAAGCAACAGAUUACCACCAAUAUUUUGAGGGUUUGUGAUCAUCACAUGAAAUUUAUUUACAUCUUAGCAGGAUGGGAAGGAUCGGCUUUAGAUUCACGUGUGCUACGUGAUGCAAUGUCUCGGGACGAUGCAUUUCUUAUUCCAAGUGGGAAAUACUAUCUUGUAGAUGCUGGAUACACCAAUGGACCGGGCUUUCUUGCUCCAUAUCGAUCCACUCGCUACCACUUGAAUGAGUGGGCUGCUCAAGGGCAUAACCCAUCCACUCCCAAAGAACUAUUCAAUUCGCGCCAUUCAACUGCUAGAAAUGUGAUAGAGAGAACAUUUGGGCUAUUAAAGAUGAGGUGGGCUAUACUAAGAAGCAACUCAUAUUUUAACUUACAAAAUCGGGUAUUCCGUAGUUAGUAACCUAGCUUGAAAUUCACCUCUGAAUGACCCUAGCAUGUAACUCAUUUCUACUAAUUUUUUGCAGAUUAGGAUCAUUAAUGCUUGUUGCAUAUUGCACAACUUUGUAAUUGAUAGACAAAGAGAUAUAGAUGACUUACUUAUAUACACCAAGUUGAUCAAGUAAUAUAUGUUGAACCUCAUGAAGUUCAAAGUGAAGUGGGCAUGAUUAGCAAUGUUCAAUCAUCAAAUGAAUGGAGCAAUUUUAGGGAUACCAAAGCUAACCAAAUGUUUGCUGAUUACCAAGCGAGACGUGGUCAAUGUAUGAUAAAUUCUAUCAUCAAUGCAUGCUCAAAUUUAUGAUAUUUGGUGUUGCUCCUUAAUAUUUUACUGAUAACCUUUGUGAACUUUUUUCUUGUAGAAUAUGGAGAAGGGCAAGAAGUCAGUCUCGAGCAGGGGUUACAUUUGUUGGAAUGACGACAUGAAUAAGGCUCUUCUUGACACAUUUGUGGAGUACUAUAACAAGGGUGACACAUGCCAAAAUGGGUGGAAGUCUCAUGUCUAUACAACUUCUAUCAAGAAUAUCCGAGAAAAGUGUAAUGUGGAUAUCACAAAAGACAACAUCAUGGCAAGGAACAAGACCUUUGACAAACACUACACUAUCAUCAAUGGUAUGUUGGAAUCAAGUGGAUUUGGUUGGGAUUGGAACAAAAAUAAAAUAUCUGUUGAUAGUGAUUCUGUAUGGGAAGAAUAUGUGACGGUAAGUUUCAAAAACCACUGAUUUACUUGCUUAACUUGCUUCUCUUUACAAGCAGUUUUCAUUUUGUUAGACACAAUCACAUAUGAGGUUAUCCUUAUUUUACACAUGGUAUGGUAUGAAUCUACUAGGUGGGCUUGGCAUAUAAUUGAAAGAUUUUUUGUACUCUAUCUAAAGUGGCAAUGAUUGUUUCAUCAAAACUUAUUGUUCCUGAAAACUUAUUGGCAUAUAAUUGAAAGUUUCUAUCUAUUGUUGAAAACAGUGUGUAGUGAAUUAUGUUCGUUACCUGUGUUCCUAAACAAUUAUGUAUGCAUCCUUGUCCCUGUAUGUUUUGUUACUUUUUUUAUUGAUAGUGUGGCAUCUUUAGGUUGUUCUUGAAAUGAAAGUAUACUUUCACUGCACAAGAAUUUAUUGGCCAGAAUAGUGGCUUGUAUUGGUCAGAUCCUAGUCAGCAAGUGCACGUCUCCUACAAGGCUGAGAAUCUUGCGUGAGGAAACUAGAGAGACCACUAGCAUGAACAAUGCCUCUCCAUACUCUGCAAUUUUUGAACUUUAGAUGCACCUGUCUCUUUGCUAGAAUUGCAAAUUAAGUAUGAAACAUGAAUCGACAUCAUUUAGUAUUGUUGUGCAGCACCAUACAAUGGUUUUGUGGUUUUGUGGAUUCUAGAAAAGGAUUCUCACAAAUGAUAGUUGCCAGUUAUACCUUUUGUUGCCAGUUCUACAAAAGGAGCCAUGGAUGUGUUUCAAUUUGUAGAUAUUCAUUGUGCAAAAUGCGACUAGAGCUUCUAGUACAUGUAUUUCUAAUAGUAGAAGCCAUGCAGAAGUUCCUGUAUUUGAACUACAGUAUGUAAACUGAUCUAUAUGUGUCUAAACUGGUCUGUAUGUGAACUACAAUGAUUGUACUUCUAUUUGGGUUCAGUACAUACUUGCUCUACACUUGUUUUCUAACCAAGUACAUUUAUUUUCUGUAGAAAAAUAAAGAAGUUACUGGGUACAGGCACAAGACUGUCUUGUACUGGGACUCAAUUAGCUUGGUGUUUGGCAAAGGCCAUGCUACUGGUGAAGCGGCAAAGACUGUGGCUGAGAGCUCAAAAAAUAUGAGUAAGGAAUAUCUUAGUAACAAAGAACCCACAUCAUCGGCAACUUCAGGAAGUUUAAAGAGGCAACGAUCAGGUGACUCUUUUACCUCUAUGAUAGCUGAAAAAAUGGACAAGUUUGCUGAAGCACUCAAGGAGGAAGCCCUAAAGGCCUAACAUCAAAAGAAAUUCUAGACACACUGAAUGAGGUACAAUGAUUGGAUGAAGACACUUUGUUGGACCUAUUUGAUAUCCUGACCGGUGAUGCACGCAAGUAUGAGUCUCUGUUGGCGCUUCCGGAGAAGAUGAGGAAGAGGUGGCUCCUAAAACAGCUCAAGAAGUGAAAAAAUUAGUUCAUAUAUAAAUUAUACUAUCAAGUGAUGGAUAAUGUCUAUUGAACUUCCAUUGCCUUGUAAUAAUAUGUGGCUUCAACUAUAUGAAAGUUUAGAUACUAUGUCUGUAUUGCUUGCAUUGUCAAGAUAAUAUGUUUAUCAUGAUCUCAUACUAUGUCUGUCAUGAAAGUUUAGAUAAUAUGUGGCUUCAACUUGUCAUGAUUGUAAUCUCCUUUGACAUGUUGCAAGUAAUCAGAUAUGUCUGCCAGGAUUGCAUUGUCAAGUAUGAAUGUAUAUCAGCAUUGUAGGGAGAGAAGCUUAUCUGCUUUUUGGAGAUAAACAUUCAAAUUACUGGUGUAUGACGGGAUGAAAUACUCUAGUGUUCACCUGGUUGGAAGGAUGAGAGGGAGAUGAGAGAGAGAGUUUGGAAGAGAGAGAGGUGAGAGUUCGGAUGAGAGAGAAAGCAGCUUAGAAGGAUGAGAGAGAGAAAGCGGUAUUCAGCUGGAUGGUGGAAAUUUUAUAUAUUACUAAUAAUGCAUCCAAACAAUAUUUGGAAUUUAAUUCUAAGAAAAACUUCCUUUGUACAACCAAAUAAGAAAAUUCAAUUGAAUCAAAUUCUACGGAAUCCAUUUCCUAUGGAAUCUAAUUGCUAGAAUAUGAUUCAUGGAAUGAGUUUCAAUUCUAGGGAAACAAACGGGCCAUGGUCUUCAUUCCCAAGGAAAGCUUGAGGCUCUGCAAUAUUACACAACAAUGAAGUCAAGAGGGUUGAUCCCUGAACCAAGGACCAAGAUACUGGUGAAAGCUAUACAUAUGAAGAAAGAUGGGGCUGUCAUAGAAGAUCAGUCUGCAAAUAUGACAGGGAAGAAUCUAAAACUGGAUCCACGAUCUAGACUAUUCCAUGUUCAUAAAUAGUUUGCUGUCAGAUCUUACUUCUAUGUGUCAAAAGAAUCUCUUCGACCAGUGUCCAGAUCACAAUGGUCACACCUUGGGCUACAAUAAAUCAUCAGCAAAGUGUAUUGGCAUUAUGUAUCCCAGAAAGUUUUGCUCAGACUUUCAAUGCCAGGGUAUGUUUUUUAUGUCUGAUAUGGAUCAAUUGCAGGUACUGUAUUACACGCUCGUAUUAUGAAGGUUAUGUGAAAUAUGACAGAUGUUUGUUUAUUCAUCUGUUAUGCAUGGCUGUGUCUACUGUCUAGUUGUUGGCUUGUUGCCAACAUAUGCAGCAGCAGGUAGCUUCAGCCGCUCAGAAGCCCAAAUGAAGGAUGGCCCAGGCAGAAUAGCUAUGUCCAGACCCAGAAAGCUUAGGACAUGUCUUGCCAGCCUGCAGUUUUGUACUCGUAGCACCAACCAUCUCCGGGUUCUGGCCGGUUAUAUACAUGGUCUGGAAUGGGCAUCCGCUGAUCGAUUGAAACCUUGAGUUGCUUCCGUGUGUCUUUUGCCAUCUAUAUAUUAUGGUUAGUCAACGGCAUGCAGUACACCCAUGCAUAUGAUUGCAGUAGGAUGACAUGGCGUGACCAGAACCCUUCUUUUGCCAGUUUUAGAUUCUUAUACACGGCCAACUGACGCAGCAGGGAGUUGCAUGCUAAGCAGUUCAGCGUAGGUGGUGAGUUCUCAACUCUGAUAUGGCUUAUGGAAGAACACUGUCACGGUGUCACCUAGCCGGUUGGAGGCCAACCUCUUACUAGGGACAGCAAUGGCCCUGUCCGGCCACUGUUUCGUGGCUGGUAUUAUUACCCCUAUGCAGUGAAUAUGACAUGUGGAUCUAUGUGUAUAUUAUGUCGUCAAAAGAACAUUAUAUGAACCGUUGAUCCACCUUUGAUUCUAUUAAUGUGUCAUGGUCAAUUGAUGUCAAACUCUAUUAUCUUCAAGUCUUACUGUAUUGAUAAAAUCACGAUGCUGCUACUGCCAUUUUGAUGUUUAUAAAAGGGUAUUGAGAACCUGGUGGGUAUCCAUUCGAUGCGCAGGGUUGGGGGUGGGGAAAAAUGAGUGUAAAGGACAGGGAUGCAGUAUUUAGAAAGAUGAGGCUGGCACAGAAAAUAGUCUCCAAGUAUGGCAGGGAAGAAUCUAAAACUGAAUCCUUGAUCAAGACUGUCCCAUAUUCAUAAAUAGUUCACUGACAGAUCUUGCUUCCAUAUUCUGAACAGCUGAUGCUGGGCACAUAGGAGGUUAACCGGUCAGCGGAUCAAAGAAAAUCCACAAUGGCCUCAUCUUGGGUUAGAGACAAUCAUCGGUAAAGAAUCAUAUUGCCGGAUAAGGAUAUCUGUGAUUGGUGGGUGCAGAUCCAUGCUCAUUCAAGAAACACAUGAUUCUUUACGGAUGAUCAUCUCUCAGCACACCCUGCUGAUAAGGUUAUCUGAGAUUGGUGGGUGCAGAUCCUAGAAACAAGCUAGGGCUGAAUGCGCCGCUGUACUUGGAUGUUGUGGUGACACCGUAAUGAUUGUGUGUUUAAUGGAGUUUUCCAUAGUGACUAGCGUGCAGGCCGUCCUCGUAUUUGAGAAAAAAAUCAAUGGGCGAAAUAUUUUCACCCAGGUAAUUGUUGCAUUGUAUGAAUAGGCUUAGAUACCUGGUUAAAGUAUGGUGCGUGUACUGUGACACAAGAAGAUUUAUCAUAUCUAUCUAUGAAUUAGUGUUAAAACUCCUACAUAAAUAUCUUCUCUUAUCUCACUUUAUGUAUAUAUAUGACACAGAAGCACAUGUAUAUCGGCAUUGUAGAGAUAGAGAUGAGAGAGAAGCUUAUCUGCUUUUUGGAGAUAAAUAUUCAAAUUACUAGUGUAUGAGAGGGAUAGAAUUAUUCUAUCAUAUUGUUUAUUCAACAUCUAAAAAGAUUCCAUGUUUAGUCAUCUAUAUCGGCGUUGUAGAGAGAGAGACUAGUGUUCAUCUGGUUGGAAGGAUGAGAGAGAGAGGAGAGAGUUUGGAUGAGAUAGAGAGAUAGUGUUCAGCUGGUUGGAAGGAUGAGAGAGAGAGAGAGGAGAGUUUGGAUGAUAGAGAGAUUAGUGUUCACUUGGUUGGAAGGAUGAGAGGGAGAUGAGAGAGUUCGGAUGAGGAGGUAGAGAGUUCGGAAGAGAGAGAGAGGUGAGAGUUCGGAUGAGAGGUGUGAGAGAGGUGAGAGUUCGGAUGAGAGAUAAAAUAGCUUAUAAGGAUGAGAGAGAGAGAAAGCGGUAUUCAGCUGGAUGGUGGAGACUUCAUAUAUUACUAAUAAUGCAUCCAAACAACAUUUGAAAUUUAAUUCUAAGAAAAACUUUCUCGGUAAAUCAAAACAAGAAAAUUCAAUUGAAUCAAAUUCUACGGAAUCCAUUUCCUACGAAAUCUAAUUGCUAGAAUAUGAUUCAUGGAAUGAGUUCCAAUUCUAGAGAUCCAAACGGGCCCUAAGAGAAUUGUAGUGAUCAACUCCCAAGUUGCAAUAUAUUCUAGGAAAUAGGUGGUUAUGAGGAUGAUACCUGCAGACAAUACUUUUUAUCCCUCAAUUCUUACAGAGAAUUGCACUAUCAACUGCAUUUUCAUUUGUGCCACGCUGCUCAGCUAUAAAAAACGGGGCAAAUCGACCAAAAUAAAUGAAUAAACCACAUGGUUUAGACUGGUGGCAUAUGUAUGUCUGAUGAGUUUAGAAUCCCAACAGACCUCUGUUUGCUUAUCCAACAGGAGGGAAAAAGUUUACUUACUAAAUCAGCUUUGCAUGUCAGGCUGCAAUUGUUAGAGAGUAGAAUUGGGUAAUUUGUGAACAUAAUUGAAUCAAAGUUUUGUCUCAGACUAGUAAUAGAAAAUGGUGAUGCUCCAUAGCUAGAACAACACGUUCCUACACUAGUUUAAAAAAUCCCCUGAAAUUGGGAACAAUGGUAAAGCCCAAACCAUACUUGGAACUUGGAAGGCCGCUGGCGGAUGUCAAAGUCAAAAACAGAAGCAGACAACGACGUCUCACCAGAUCACGAAUCAGAUGCGAUGCAUAUACAUGUUGCAGGCAUUAGCACGCAUCCCUUAGGAUUAAACAAUUCAGCAAGUAGCUCCCCUGCUGACCAAGAAAAGCAAGCUCUGUCUCGCAGCAAGCUCUUCAAUACGCUCCAGCCCAGCUCUACCAUGGCAUUUGCAAUGCGCGUCAUGAGCUUGCUUCCUGCCACCAUCGCCGUGAUGAUCGCAGCGGCCUCCUGGGGAGCGCACGGCGGUGCCAGCGACGAGGCCAGCGCGCUGCUUGCUUUCAAGGCUGAGCUCGCCGGCAGCGGCUCCGGCAUGCUUGCAUCCUGGAAUGGCACCGCUGGCGUCUGCAGCUGGGAGGGCGUGGCGUGCACCAGCGGCCAGGUGGUGGCACUGAGCCUGCCCUCUUAUGGGUUCGCCGGAGCCCUCUCCCCGGCCAUUGGGAACCUCACUUUCCUGCGGACCCUGAACCUGAGUUCCAACUGGUUCCAGGGGGAGGUCCCAGCAAGCAUCGGCCGCCUAGCGCGUCUGCAGACGCUUGAUCUGAGCUACAAUGCGUUCUCUGGUACGCUUCCUUCCAACCUCAGUUCCUGUGUCAGCUUACUGCUGUUAGAUCUCAGCAGUAACCGGUUCCAUGGGCGUAUCCCUGUUGAGCUUGGAGACAAGCUAACAAGUCUUCAGAAGUUCUCACUGGGCAACAACAGCUUGACGGGUGCCAUGCCAGGAUUACUAGGUAACCUGUCAUCCCUGAACUACCUUGAUCUGAGAAAAAACCACCUCGAGGGUCCGAUCCCACAUGAACUCGGCAGCAUGGGCGGCCUGCAGGUCCUUUUACUCCAUGACAACAGACUCUCCGGUGUGCUUCCACACUCCCUGUACAAUCUGUCCUCACUGAAAAAGUUGGGGGUAGGAGACAACAUGCUGUCUGGAACCAUCCCUGCUGAUAUCGGCGAUAGGUUCCCCGGUAUGGAAGCUCUUGACUUUUCUAGCAACCGAUUCAGUGGAGCUAUCCCACCUUCGCUCGGCAACCUCUCUGCUCUCACAAAACUAAUCCUUCAAGAAAAUGGUUUUAUUGGAUAUGUGCCUUCUGCUUUGGGAAAGUUGCAAAGUCUUACUGCCCUUUUCUUGGGUGUUAACAGGCUAGGAGCAAACGACAGUCAAGGGUGGGAAUUCAUCACUUCACUGGCAAACUGCUCCCAGCUUCAGGUUCUUGUUCUCGGCAACAACUCUUUCAGCGGGCAACUGCCUAAUUCAGUCACAAACCUGUCAUCAACUCUGCAAGGUCUUUAUUUGGGAGACAAUAUGAUUUCUGGGAAUAUUCCAAUAAACAUCGGAAAUUUGGUUGGUCUUACAGUAUUUGUGAUGGGAAAUACUUCUGUAUCUGGACAGAUUCCAGAGAGCAUUGGUCAGCUAAGAAACUUGGGUGUGUUAGGCCUUUACAACACUAGCUUGUCAGGCCUCAUACCUUCGUCACUAGGAAAUCUUACACAGUUGAAUAGGCUUUAUGCAUACUAUGGAAACUUAGAGGGGCCAAUUCCAUCAAACUUGGGGAACUUAAAGAAUGUGUUUGUCUUUGAUCUCUCAACAAAUCGACUCAAUGGUUCAAUUCCUAUAGAGGUUUUAAAACUUCCUCAACUUUCAUGGUACUUAGACUUAUCAUAUAAUUCAUUAUCCGGGCCACUUCCAAUUGAGGUUGGUACCAUGGUGAAUCUUAACGAACUGAUUCUGUCUGGAAACAAGUUGUCAGGCACCAUACCAGCUAGUGUUGGGAACUGUAUAUCGUUGGUACGGCUGCUGCUCGAUAACAACUUAUUAGAAGGAAGCAUACCUCAAUCUCUGAAGAACAUAAAAGGUCUUGCAUUACUGAACCUAACAAUGAAUAAGCUAUCUGGUAGUAUUCCUGAUGCCCUUGCUAGCAUUGGCCACCUGCAACAACUGUAUCUUGCACACAACAACUUGUCAGGUUCCAUCCCCAAAGUUCUACAGAAUUUGACAUUGUUGGCAAAACUGGAUUUGUCCUUCAAUGAUCUGCAAGGCGAAGUGCCAAAAGGGGGUCCUUUUGCAAAUGCAACU